Molecule: long non-coding RNA, 65083 nt
Filed under: Triticum aestivum (bread wheat)
Lineage: Eukaryota; Viridiplantae; Streptophyta; Magnoliopsida; Poales; Poaceae
Description: long non-coding RNA (TAES_LNC003783)
Source: RNAcentral
CUUUUUUUUUCUACAGGCCGCAUUUUAACGUAUUUCAUCCUGAAAUUGGACCCAGAUAUGCCUCACAUCCUUGUUUAUUUGCACAAAAAAAUUCAGAUUUUUUUUCGAAUUUUGAUUUUUUUUUCAGAAAAUACCAAAACGCCAUUCUCGAUAAUUGAGAAUUUUGGUUUCAUGAAAAUUGGUAUGUCAAUACAAGUUAGUCCUCCAUAUUGUAAAAACCGUCUCAGAUUUAUUACUUGUCAUAACAGUGGUAUUAUGAAACAACCAUCUUAGAUAUAAACUAAUUAUGUAAAAAUGUAUCUCUGAUAAGCCUCAUAUAUGUGUGAAUAGUUUACAGAACUGUCUUGGAUGAGCAGCUUAUUAUGUGAGUUCUUGUAGUAGUGCAUGGAUGGGCCGACGAAGAGGAAAUUCUUAAUCAGGAUUAACAUUCGCCAGUGACUUACUAUAGAUGGCUAAAUGCAGGUUUUGGGCCUGUGGCUAUUAGUUCAAAGCUUAUCCUUCAUCGUUGCCGGAGUCUCGGUAACCGCCCUGCUGGUCUACGAUGACCUGAAAGUGACAAGCUUCCCGGUGUUCGUGGCUCUAGUCGUGGUCACCAACGUCUCCGGCGCGCUCGCGGCUCUCUCGACACUCGCCGGAACCAUACUGAUCGAGAGAGAAUGGUACACAACCCACAACUUAACUAACUGCAUUAGCUGUACGUACGUGUUGUCUGAUGGCUGCGAUGAUGCAUGCAGGGUGGUGGUGAUGUGCGGCGGGCAUCCACCGGCGGUGCUGACCCGAACCAACUCGGCGAUCCGGAGGAUCGACCUGAGCUGCAAGCUUCUGGCGCCGGUGCUGUCCGGGUUGGUGAUCAGCUUCGUGUCGACGCAGGCCUCCGCGGUGGCGCUGGCGCUAUGGAACGUCGCCUCGGUGUGGCUGGUGUACUGGCUCUUCGUGUCGGUCUACAACGGCGUGCCGGCUCUCGGCGCCAAUGGCCUGGCAAGGGACACGGCGGCGCCGGAGGUCGACGAGGCGGCGCAGGGUCACGGUCAGGACGCGUCGGACUGGAGCGAGAGGCUGACGGCGCGGCUCUCAGUCCUGCCCUGCUGGGAGUCCUGGGCCGUGUACGCGAGGCAGGAGGUGGUGCUGCCCGGGGUUGCUCUCGCCAUCCUCUACUGUUAGUUGUGUAAACCUGUUGUAAUAUGGUCGUGGUAAAACCUGGAAGGUGCCCAUGUGUUGGUGCACUGUGGGUGAGUGGAGUGAUGGUGAACUGCAUCUGUUGCAACCAUCAGUUCACGUAGUGGGUGUACUGAGUGUGUACCCAAGUAUUGUAGCAGAGUGUGGGCUGUGUGCGUGCACUGGUAUGGCUACAGUGGUGUUGGUUUCUGUAACUGAACAUCAAAAGAGUAGAGCCGGAGUGUGUCGCUGGUUUAGUAAAGGAAAAAGGGCAUUCGUUGCCUGGAAAACCAACCUGUGUGUGUGCUGCUCUGCUCCUCCUCUGUUUUUGCUUGUGUCCAUUUUGCUCGAACAGCUUGCGUGCGUGUGUGUAUCCACCCAGAACUAGGCGAGAGAGAGAGGCUCUUGCCAACAAUUGGCACCAGAGCCAGCGAGGGGUGAUUGGCGGCCAUGGACAAGACGCCGGAGGCGGCGUUCAAGGCGGCGGAGGAUGCGCUAAAGGAGGCGGCGGCUGCGCGAGCGGAGGCGGACGCAGCCAAAGCCGAACUGGCGGCGCUAAAGGGGGAGAUGGCUGGUGCAGAGCAGAAACCGGGGGAGUUGAUGCCGGUGGCCCAGGCGCUGCCGGUGAGGCCCCGAGGUCCCAUCAACUACCCGCAGCUCACCCGCACCAACUAUACCCUCUGGGCGAUGCAGAUGCGGGUGGCGCUACAGUCAGCCUGCGUGUGGGAGGCAGUCCACUCCGACAAGGUGGAGUUCGAGCUGGAUCGUGACGCGCUCCUGGCAAUUUAUCAAGGCGUGCCGGAAGAUGUGCUCGCGUCGCUCGCCGGCAAGGACACGGCGAAGGCGGCGUGGGAGGCCAUCAAGUCUGUGCACGUCGGCCAUGACCGCGUGCGCGAGUCGAACCUGCAGGCGCUGCGUAAGGCCUUCGAGGGGCUGGAGAUGGGCGACAACGAGCAAACAGAGGUCUUCGCCACGCGCGUGAACAAGAUGGUGUCAUCCAUCCGUGCGCUCGGCGAUGAGGUGAAGGAGAUCACCGUUGUCCAAAAGAUGCUUCAAGCAGCGCCAGCGCGGCUCAUGCAUUUGGUCACCGCAUUGGAGCAGUGUGUCGAUCUGAAGACGCUCACGGUGGAGGACCUACUCGGGCGCUUCAAGGCGUAUGAGGAGCGCAUUAAGCAGCGCUUUGGUGAUCCUGUUGAUGGACAGCACCUCAUGCUGACCAGGAAGCAAUGGGAAGGUUACGUCGGGAAGAAGAACUGGGGCAGCAACGGAGCAGGUGGUAGUGGAAAGGGAGGCGCUGACCGUGGAAGUGACCACGGAAGAGGCGAUGACCAGUCGUCGAGCGCGAAAUCUGCUGCAACUCCGAAGAAAAAAUUCAAGUGCUAUAAUUGUGGUGAAAAAGGGCAUUUCUCGAGGGAAUGCACCAAGCCAAAGAAGAAGAAGCAAGAAAGAGCCAUGGUGGCUGAGAAGCAAAAUGAAGAACCUGCUCUUCUACUGUCAGAAACCUGUGUAAUAUCAGGUAACUCAGUAGAAGCAAAGGGCAGGGUGUACCUCAAUGAAGAAAAGGUGAAACCACAACUUAGUGAUGAUGGAAGGUAUGACACUAAAAUGUGGUAUCUUGACACUGGAGCUAGCAACCAUAUGACAGGCUCCAAAGCAAUGUUUACUAGUAUUGAUGAUUCAGUUACUGGAGUAGUCAAAUUUGGAGAUGGUUCCCUGGUUGAAAUUGAGGGCAGGGGUACCAUACUUAUUACUACAAGAGAUGGGGCUCAUCGUGGGCUAACUGAUGUUUAUUACAUACCAAAGUUGAGAAGUAAUAUCAUUAGUCUCGGACAGUUGGAAGAGUAUGGUUGCAAGGUCAUAUUAGAAGAUGGGUACCUGCAAAUAUUUGAUCAAGGGAGAAAACUGCUAGUAAAAGUACCAAGAGGAGAGAACAGGCUGUAUAUACUGAAUAUUAGUUUGGGCAUGCCUGUGUGUUUACUGUCAUCUAUCACUGAUGUGUCAUGGUUGUGGCAUGCUCGUUAUGGUCAUCUAAAUUUUGAUGCCUUGAGGUCUUUAGCUCAGCAUGACAUGGUUAAAGGGCUUCCUUUAGUGUGCCACAAGGACAGGGUAUGUGACGGCUGCCUCAUUGGCAAGCAGCGUCGACUACCAUUUCCAAAGCACGCAACUUUCAGAGCAGAAAAAAGUCUUGAGUUGGUGUAUACAGACCUGUGUGGUCCAAUUACACCUGCAACUCCUGCCGGAAAUCGCUACUUUAUGCUUAUAGUAGAUGAUUUCAGUCGGUUCAUGUGGGGAGUGCUGCUGAAAACCAAAGAUCAAGCAUUUGUUGCAUUCAGAAGGUUUAAAGCAGCUGCAGAGUUGAAAAGUGGGCUGAAGUUGAAAGUGCUCAGGAGUGAUAGAGGAGGAGAGUUUACAUCUGUUGAAUUCAAUUCCUUCUGUGAAGAUCAUGGAAUUCAACGCCAACUCACUGCACCCUACAGCCCUCAGCAGAACGGAGUUGUGGAGAGACGCAACCAAACUGUAGUUGCAAUGGCACGGUGUCUGCUGAAAAGCCAAAAUAUGCCGGGCUGUUACUGGGGGGAAGCAGUUGCUACUGCCAUUUAUAUCUUGAACCGAGCCCCCACGAAGAGUGUUGCUGUAAAAACACCUUAUGAAGCUUGGAAUGGCUAUAAACCAAAUGUUGGCCAUCUUCGGACUUUUGGUUGUUUGGCUCACGUCAAGGUAACAGGUCCAUCUGGUGGGAAAUUAGCUGACAGAAGUAUUCCAAUGGUAUUGAUUGGCUAUGAGAAAGGCUCAAAUGCAUAUAGACUUGUCAAUCCAGAGACAAAUCGUGUGUGUGUAUCAAGGGAUGUAGUUUUUGAAGAAUCAAAAGGUUGGCAGUGGUCCAGUGGAGAUGAUGUCACGAUCAGUGAUGACACUGAUAGGUUUCUGGUUCACUUUGAACCUGAACAAACUGAAUCAGUGAAUGACCAUGCUGCUCAAGAAGGUGAAAAUGCAGAAAACAGGGAAGGUACAGAACCAAUUACACCUAGGCAAGCAGUGCUUCCAGGGUCACCUGUUAUACCUGCUAUGGUGACACCAAUAUCCUCUGUUGCUGCAGAAAGUCCUGAAUCAUCUGCUCCACUGAAAAUGCGCUCCCUUGAUGAGAUUUUCGAUGCUACCUCUCCACACUGGAGUCCAGCUGAUUAUGACCAUAUGGAGGAACUUGAGUUGUGUAUGCUAGGUGCAGAGGAGCCAACUCACCACAAUGAUGCUCUGAAGCAUGAGCAUUGGAAGAAAGCCAUGGAGGAAGAGCUGAAAUCCAUAAAAGAAAAUGAUACAUGGGAAAUGGUAACACCACCUACUGGAGUGCGAGCCAUUGGACUGAAAUGGGUAUUUAAAUUGAAAAAAGAUGUUGAAGGCAAUGUGAUACGCCACAAGGCAAGGCUAGUCGCCAAGGGGUAUGUGCAACGUCAUGGCAUUGACUUUGAUGAGGUCUUUGCACCUGUGGCACGCCUAGAAACUGUGAGGCUACUAAUGGCAUUGGCAGCAAAUGAAGGGUGGAGGGUACACCAUAUGGAUGUGAAAUCAGCAUUCUUAAAUGGAGAAUUGGAGGAAGAAGUGUAUGUAGCACAACCUCCAGGUUUCAUUGAAACUGGCAAAGAAGGAAAGGUACUGAAACUCAGGAAAGCCUUGUAUGGGCUUCGACAGGCUCCAAGAGCCUGGAAUUUGAAACUGGAUCAGACUUUGUUGUCUCUUGGUUUCAUUAGAAGUCCUGUUGAACAUGCGGUGUACAUGAAGAAUUCUGGAAAUGCACGACUGCUGGUUGGAGUAUAUGUUGAUGAUUUGAUCAUAACCGGUUCUAGUGCAGAAGAAGUGGCUAUGUUCAAGGAACAGAUGAAAGACAUGUUCAGUAUGAGUGACUUGGGUCUACUUUCAUAUUAUCUUGGCAUUGAAGUUGCGCAAGUUGAAGAUGGCAUUUCACUCUGCCAAUCUGCAUAUGCACUGAAGAUACUAGAGAAGACUGGCAUGCUGGAUUGCAAUCCUUGUCAAACACCCAUGGAAGAAAGGCUGAAGUUAAGUAAGAAUGGAGAAGGACCCAAAGUGGAUCCAACAUACUACAGGAGUGUAGUAGGAAGCCUCAGGUACUUGGUUAACACCAGACCUGACAUCUCCUAUGCUGUUGGCGUUGUAAGCCGAUACAUGGAGAGCCCAAAUUCCCAGCACAUGGCAGCGGUGAAACAAAUUUUGAAGUAUAUCCGUGGAACUCUGAACCUUGGAUGCAAAUACUCUCAGAAUAAAGGAGAAAAGCCCAGCCUGCUUGGGUACUCUGAUAGUGAUCACGGUGGAGAUGUUGAUGACCGAAAAAGCACAACUGGAGUACUCUAUUUCCUUGGCAAGAGUCCAAUUACAUGGUUGUCCCAGAAGCAGAAAGUAGUUGCAAUUUCAUCAUGUGAAGCUGAAUAUAUUGCUGCCGCUAGUGCUGCUUGUCAGGGUUUGUGGCUUGGACAACUACUUGCUGAGAUGGAAGGGAAGCAGCCAGUUCAGGUUGAGUUGUUGGUUGACAACAAGUCGGCUAUUUCAUUGGCCAAAAAUCCUGUUCACCAUGAUCGCAGUAAGCAUAUCGAUAUACGUUAUCAUUUUAUCAGGGACUGUGUGGAGAAUGGCAAGAUCGGGGUGAACUAUGUUCCAACGGGAGAUCAGCUGGCAGACCUACUUACCAAGCCCCUUGGGCGUUUGAAGUUCCUGGAGCUCAGACGAAGGAUUGGCAUGGUGGUUGUCAAAUGAAGACAACAAGGUUUAGGAGGAAGAUUGUUAGUUGUGUAAACCUGUUGUAAUAUGGUCGUGGUAAAACCUGGAGGGUGCCCAUGUGUUGGUGCACUGUGGGUGAGUGGAGUGAUGGUGAACUGCAUCUGUUGCAACCAUCAGUUCACGUAGUGGGUGUACUGAGUGUGUACCCAAGUAUUGUAGCAGAGUGUGGGCUGUGUGCGUGCACUGGUAUGGCUACAGUGGUGUUGGUUUCUGUAACUGGACAUCAAAAGAGUAGAGCCGGAGUGUGUCGCUGGUUUAGUAAAGGAAAAAGGGCAUUCGUUGCCUGGAAAACCAACCUGUGUGUGUGCUGCUCUGCUCCUCCUCUGUUUUUGCUUGUGUCCAUUUUGCUCGAACAGCUUGCGUGCGUGUGUGUAUCCACCCAGAACUAGGCGAGAGAGAGAGGCUCUUGCCAACAUCUACUUCUCCGUGCUAAGGCAAUUCAUUUACGGAUACAAUAAGAACUUAUAUUUUACAUUUGAUACAAUUUGAUUUUGAUCUUGUUUCCGUUGCUGCUGCAGCUUUGGCACGCUGAUGACGGCGACGCUGGACUGGGAGGGCAUCCCGGCGUACGUGAUCAGCCUGGCCCGGGGGUUCAGCGCCAUGGUGGGCAUCGCGGCGACGGUGCUGUACCCGGCCGCGCACGCGCGGCUGUCCACGCUCCGGACGGGGCUCUGGGCCAUCUGGACGCAGUGGUGCUGCCUGCUGCUCUGCGUCGGCUCCGUCUGGGUGGGCGGCCGCGCGGCGUCGGCGUGGGGGCUCAUGGCCGGCGUCGCCGCGUCGCGCCUCGGCCUCUGGAUGUUCGACCUGGCGGUCACGCAGCUGAUGCAGGACGGCGUCCCGGACGCGGACCGGUGCGCCGUCGGAGGGGUCCAGAGCUCGCUGCAGUCCGUGUUCGACCUGCUCACCUACGUCAUGGGCAUCAUCGUCUCCGACCCCAGGGUACGCACGCUCGUGUCUUUCGUUUCGCUCAGUUUGUUGCCCAAAUGGCGAGACGAGUACGGUGGUGAACUGGUGAUGAUUUCGGUGCAACCAAAUUAACAGGAUUUCGGCGAGCUCAUCGCGCUCUCCUUCUUGCUGGUGACCUGCGCUGCGGUCAUGUACACGCUGCACGUGUACCGCGUGCGGAAGCACCUGUUCCACCUCGACAAGAUCUUCGCCAAGAUGCAAUAGUCAUGAUCUUUGGUUCUCUCGGAUGUGCGUUAGUGUUACUACGUACUCCUAGAUAUACAGAGGCCAGGUGUGUACUUACUAUGAUUGUAUCGCUCGAUGCUACAUUAUGAGGCACUAAAAGACGCCCAAAAUAGAAAAGAAAAUGAGAACAUGCGUGUGCAUGACUGUAGGUUUUGUAAUUUGUAGGAGUAGUAUAUUAACACCAUGGUUGGAUUAUUCUUCCACUUUCUUCUUUUUUGGAUUUCAGUAUUUUCCUUUUAGACAAACUCACAAAGUUUUAUUCACCCAUCACAAGGUUUACAUGGACGAAAUCUAAAUUUUCAGGUUGGCCUAACCAAACAUGGCGGCCAAAACCCAAAGAUAACGCAUGCUUUGCAAGUUUGUGAGCCUCGAGAUUCGAGGUUCUAUAUUCUUGGCUAAUUAAACACGAAGAAAAAACUCUAGAACGAUCUAUAAUUUCAUGUACCACUGCCCCAUAUUGUGCUGUCGUGCCACUCUUGAUCGCUUCAACGGCCACCUUGCAGUCCGACGCAAUAGAUAUCUUGUGGAGCGUUGCCUCACGAAUUGCCAAAGUUUCAGGACUUCUGGUUCGUCAAUAUUUCUGAAAACUAACACUGAAGCUCCUUGGAACAUCCCAUUGGCAUGCCUGCAGAUCGCCGCUGUAGUCCCAAAGCCUCCAUGCCUUGCUACUGCCGCAUCAACAUUCACCUUCAUGUGCUGCUCCGGUGGGGGAAUCCAUGUCGUUGGUCUUGGAGCUGGUACACUAGCUCUCCUCUCCAGUUUCGCAAGGAUCUGCAGUUCCGCCAGAUAACUCGAGAAAACAAUGGGUUGUGUAGGGAGUUUGAAAGAUCCCCUCGUGUAUAACCUUCCUCCGGGCAGACCAGAUUGCCCAAAGCGUGGCAAUCAUUGCGAUGAGCUCAUCAUUGGGCAGUGAUUCAAACAUAGAGAACAACCAAUCCUUUGCAUUAUCAUCCCGAUUCAUAGCCAUGUGUUGUACCAUCUCCUCCUUUGCCAAUGCCCAAGUACUUCUAGAUAGAGCACAAUCCAGUAAGGAAUGUCGCAAACUAUCUCGCGCGCCACAAAUCCCGCAUACAUCCGUUGUUGCCAUAUUUCUGUGUUGGAGUAGGUCCCCGGUGGGAAGGGAUUGUUUCGCAAGCCUCAAUGUAAAGACUUUUAAUUUUGAUGGCAGCUGUAAUUUCCAUAAGGCUGACCAGCUGUUCAUCUGGCCCUGUAAAUUAGAAGUGUGUUCGCCUUCCUCUAACCAUGCUUCCUGUCCAUUUUGAUACGGUAGAUCUGAAGGAAAUAUGUUCUAGAGGCAAUAAUAAAGUUGUUAUUUAUAUUUUCUUAUAUCAUGAUGAAUGUUUAUUAUUCACGCUAGAAUUGUAUUAACAGGAAACUUGGUACAUGUGUGAAUACAUAGACAAAACAAAGUUUCCCUAGUAUGCCUCUACUUGACUAGCUCGUUAAUCAAAGAUGGUUAUGUUUCCUCACCAUAGACAUGUGUUGUCAUUUGAUGAACGGGAUCACAUCAUUAGGAGAAUGAUGUGAUGGACAAGACCCAUCCGUUAGCUUAGCAUUAUGAUCGUUAUAAUUUCAUUGCUACUGCUUUCUUCAUGACUUAUACACGUUCCUCAGACUGUGAGAUUAUGCAACUCCCGAAUACCGGAGGAACACCUUGUGUGCUAUCAAACGACACAACGUAACUGGGUGAUUAUAAAGGUGCUCUACAGGUAUCUCCGGAGGUGUUUGUUGGGUUGGCAUAGAUCAAGAUUAGGAUUUGUCACUCCUGUUUCGGAGAGGUAUCUCUGGGCCCUCUCGGUAAUGCUCAUCACUAUAAGCCUUGCAAGCAUUGUAACUAAUGAGUUAGUUGCGGGAUGAAGUAUUACGGAACGAGUAAAGAGACUUGCCGGUAAUGGGAUUGAACUAGGUAUGAUGAUACCGACGAUCGAAUCUCGGGCAAGUAACAUACCGAUGACAAAGGGAACAACGUAUGUUGUUAUGCGGUUUGACCGAUAAAGAUCUUCGUAGAAUAUGUAGGAGCCAAUAUGAGCAUCCAGGUUCCGCUAUUGGUUAUUGACCGGAGAUAUGUCUCGGUCAUGUCUACAUAGUUCUCGAACCCAUAGGGUCCGCACGCUUAAUGUUCGAUGACGAUAUGUAUUAUGAGUUAUGUGAUUUUGAUGACCGAAGUUUGUACGGAGUCCCGGAUGAGAUCACGGACAUGAUGAGGAGUCUCUAAAUGGUCGAGACAUAAAGAUCGAUAUAUUGGAAGGCUAUAUUCGGACAUCGGCAAGGUUCCGAGUGAUUCGGGUAUUUUUCGGAGUACCGGAGAGUUACGAGAAUUCGCUGGGGGAAUUAGUGGGUCUUAAUGGGCCAUACAGGAAAGGAGAGAAGGGCCUCAAGGGGUGCCCCCCCCAUGGGCUGGUACGAAUUGGACUAGGAGGGGGCGGUGCCCCCCUCCUUCCUUCUCCCCUCUUCCUCCUUCCCUUCCUUCUCCUAGUGGGAAUAGGAGGGGGGGGGGCGAAUCCUACUUGGACCGAGAGUCCAAGUAGGACUCCCCCCCUUGGCGCCCCCUCUAGGGCCGGCCUCCUCUUCCUCCCUCCUUUAUAUACGUAGGCAGGGGGCACACCAAAGGCACUCUAAGAUUUUUCUUAGUCGUGUGCGGUGCCCCCCUCCACAGUUACACACCUCGAUCAUACUGUUAUGGAACAUCGGCAAAGCCCUGCACCGGUAGCAUAAUCAUCACCCUCGCCACGCCGUCAUGCUGACGGAACCCCCCCUCGGCCUCAACUGGAUCAAGAGUACGAGGGACGUCAUCGAGCUGAAUGUGUGCUGAACUCGGAGGUGCCAUACGUUUGAUGCUUGAUCGGUUGGAUCGCGAAGAAGUUCGACUACAUCAACCGCGUUAGUAAACGCUUCCGCUUUCGGUCUACGAGGGUAUAUGGACAUACUCUCCCCUCUCUUUGCUAUGCAUCUCCUAGAUAGUUCUUGCGUGAUCGUAGGAUUUUUUUUGAAAUUACUGUGUUCCCCAACAGUGGCAUCAGAGCCAGGUCUAUGCGUAGAUGUUAUAUGCACGAGUAGAACACAAGUGAGUUGUGGGCGAUAAUAGUCAUACUGCUUACCACCAACAUCUUACUUUGAUUUGGUGGUAUUGUUGGAUGAAGCGGCCCGGACCGACAUUACAUGGCCGCGUUCAUGAGACUGGUUCUACUGACGUGCUUACGCACACAGGUGGCUGGUGGGUGUCAGUUUCUCCAACUUUAGUUGAAUCGAGUUUGACUACGGUCGGUCCUUGUGAAGGUUAAAACAACACACUUGACAAAAAAUCGUUGUGGUUUUGAUGCGUAGGUAAGAACAGUUCUUACUAGAAGCCCAUAGCAGCCACGUAAAACUUGCAACAACAAAGUAGAGGACGUCUAACUUGUUUUUCUAGGGCUUGCUAUGAUGUGAUAUGGUCAGGACAUGAUGUGAUAUAAAUUGUUGUAUGAGAUGAUCAUGUUUUGUAACAAAAUUAUCGGUAACUGGCAGGAGCCAUAUGGUUGUCGCUUUAUUGUAUGCAAUGCAAUCAUAAUGUAAUUGUUUUACUUUAUCACUAAGCGGUAGCGAUUGUCGUAGUAACAAUAGUUGGCGAGACGACAACGAUGCUACGAUGGAGAUCAAGGUGUCGCGCUAGUGGCGAUGGAGAUCAUGACGAUGCUUCGGUGAUGGAGAUCAUGAGCACAAGAUGAUGAUGGCCAUAUCAUGUCACAUAUUUGAUUGCAUGUGAUGUUUAUCUUUUAUGCAUCUUAUUUUGCUUAGUACGGUGGUAGAAUUAUAAGAUGAUCCCUUACUAAAUUUCAAGGUAAAAGUGUUCUCGCUGAGUAUGCACCAUUGCGACAGUUCUUCGUGCUGAGAAACCACAUGAUGAUCAGGUGUGAUAAGCUCUGCGUUCACAUACAACGGGUGCAAGCCAGUUUUGCACACGCAGAAUACUCGGGUUAAACUUGACGAGCCUAGCAUAUGCAGAUAUGGCCUCGAAACACUAGAGACCGAAAGGUCGAGCGUGAAUCAUAUAGUAGAUAUGCUCAAUAUAGUGAUGUUCACCAUUGAAAAGUACUCCAUCUCACGUGAUGAUCGGACAUGGUUUAGUUAAUUUGGAUCACGUGAUCAUUUAGAUGAUUAGAGGGAUGUCUAUCUAAGUGGGAGUUCUUAAGUAAUAUGAUUAAUUGAACUUUAAUUUAUCAUGAACUUAGUCUUGAUAGUGUUUUGCAAAUUAUGUUGUAGAUCAAUAGCUCGCGAUGUAGCUCCCCGUUUAUUUUUGAUAUGUUCCUAGAUAAAAAUAAGUUGAAAGAUGAUAGUAGCAAUGAUGCGGACUUGGUCCGUGAUCUGAGGAUUAUCCUCAUUGCUGCACAAAAGAAUUAUGUCCUUGAUGCAGCGCUAGGUGACAGACGUACUGCAGGAGCAGAUGCAAACGUUAUGAAUGUUUGAACAAUGCUCGGUAUGAUGACUACUUGAUAGUUUAAUGCACCAUGCUUUACGGCUUAGAACCGAGACUUCAAAAACAUUUUGAACGCCAUAGAGCGUAUGAGAUGUUCCAAGAGUUGAAAUUGGUAUUUCAUACUCAUGCCCGUGUCGAGAGGUAUGAGACCUCUAACACUACUUUUCCUACAAGAUGGAGGAGAAUUACUCAGCUAGUGAGCAUGUGCUCGGAAUGUCUGGGUACUACAAUCGCUUGAAUCAAGUGAGAGUCAAUCUUCCAGAUAAGAUAGUGAUUGACAGAGUUCUCUAGUCACCAUCACCAAGUUACUGGAACUUCGUGAUGAACUAUAGUAUGCAAGGGAUGAUGAAAACGAUUCCCAAGCUCUUCGUGAUGCUGAAAUCGACGAAGGUAGAAAUCAAGAAAGAGCAUCAAGUGUUGAUUGCCAAGACCACUAGUUUCAAGAAAAGGGCAAAGGAAAGAAGGGGAACUUUCAAGAAGAAGAGCAAGCAAGUUGCUGAUCAAGGGAAGAAGCCCAAGUCUGGACCUAAGCCUGAAACUGAGUGCUUAUACUGCAAAGGAAAUGGUUACUAGAAGCGGAACUGCCUCGAAUAUUUGGCGGAUAAGAAGGAUGGCAAAGUGAACAAAGGUAUAUUUGAUAUACAUGUUAUUGAUGUGUACCUUACUAGUGCUCAUAGUCACCCCUGUGUAUUUGAUACUUGUUCGGUUGCUAAGAUUAGUAACUCGAAACAAGAGUUGCAGAAUAAAUAGAGACUAGUUGAGGAUGAAGUGACGAUGUGUGUUGGAAGUGGUUCCAAGAUUGAUAUGAUCAUCGUCGCACAUACUUUCGGGAUCAGUGUUGAACCUAAAUAAAUGUUAUUUGGUGUUUGCGUUGAGCAUGAAUAUGAUUAGAUCAUGUUUAUUGCGAUAUGGUUAUUCAUUUAAGACGGAGAAUAAUUAUUAUUCUGUUUACAUGAAUAAAACCUUCUAUGGUCAUACACCCAAUGUUGAUGGUUUAUUGAAUCUCGAUCGUGGUAACACACAUAUUCAUAAUAUUGAUGACAAAAGAUGCAAAGUUGAUAAUGAUAGUGCAACAUACAUGUGGCACUACCGUUUAGGUCAUAUUGGUGUAAAGCGCAUGAAGAAACUCCAUGCUGAUGGGCUUUUAGAAUCACUUGAUUAUGAAUCAUUUGAUACUUGCGAACCGUGCCUUAUGGGCAAGAUGGCUAAAACUCCGUUCUCCGGAACAAUGGAAUGAGAUAGUGACUCAUAGGAAAUAAUACAUACCGAUGUAUGCGGUUCAAUGAGUGUUGAUGCUUGUGGCGGGUAUCAUUAUUUUCUGACCUUCAUAGAUGAUUUGAGCAGAUAUGGGUAUAUCUACUUAAUAAAACACAAGUCUGAAACAUUUCAAAAGUUCAAGAAUUUCAGAGUGAAGUAGAGAAUCAUUGUAACAAGAAAAUAAAGUUUCUAUGAUCUGAUCGUGGAGGAGAAUAUGUAAGUUACGAGUUUGGCCUUCAUUUAAAACAAUGUGGAAUAGUUUCACAGCUCACGCCACCUGGAACACCACAGCGUAAUGGUGUGUCCGAACGUGGUAACCGCACUUUAUUGGAUAUGGUGCGAUCUAUGAUGUCUCUUACCGAUUUACCACUAUCGUUUUGGGGUUAUGCAUUAGAGACAGCUGCAUUCACUUUAAACAGCGCACCAUCAAAAUCUGUUGAGACGAUGCCAUAUGAACUAUGGUUUGGCAAGAAACCAAAGUUGUCAUUUCUUAAAGUUUGGGGCUAUGAUGCUUAUGUGAAAAAGCUUCAACCUGAUAAGCUCGAACCCAAAUCGGAGAAGUGUCUUCAUAGGAUACCCAAAGGAGAUUAUUGGGUACACCUUCUAUCAUAGAUCCGAAGGCAAGAUAUUUGUUGCUAAAAAUGGAUCCUUUCCAGAGAAGUAGUUUCUCUCGAAAGAAGUGAGUGGGAGGAAAGUAGAACUUGAUGAGGUAAUUGUACCUUCUCCCGAAUUGGAAAGGAGUUCAUCACAGAAAUCAGUUCCAAUGAUUCCUACACCAAUUAGCGAGGAAGCUAAUGAUGAUGAUCAUGAAACUUUAGAUCAAGUUACUACCGAACCUUGUAGGUCAAGCAGAGUACGGUCCGCACCAGAGUGGUAUGAUAAUCCUAUUAUGGAAGUCAUGUUACUAGACCAUGAUGAACCUAUGAACUAUGAGGAAGCGAUAUUGAGCCCAGAUUCCGCGAAAUGCCUUGAGGCCAUGAAAUCUGAGAAGGGCUCCAUGUAUGAGAACAAAGUGUGGACUUUGGUGGACUUGCCCGAUGAUCGGCAAGUCAUUAAGAAUAAAUGGAUCUUAAAGAGGAAGACGGACGCUGAUGGUAGUGUUACUAUCUAUAAAGCUCGACUUGUCGCAAAAAGGUUUUUGACAAGUUCAAGGUGUUGACUACUAUGAGAUUUUCUCAACAGUAGCGAUGCUUAAGUCUGUCCGAAUCAUGUUAGCAAUUGCCAUAUUUUAUGAAGUCUGGCAACUGGAUGUCAAGAAAUGCAUUCCUUAAUGAAUUUAUUAAAGAAGUGUUGUAUAUGAUACAACCAGAAGGUUUUGUCAAUCCUAAAGGUGCUAACAAAAUGUCCAAGCUCCAACGAUCCAUCUAUGGACUGGUGCAAGCAUCUCAGAGUUGGAAUAUACGCUUUGAUGAGUUGAUCUAAGCAUAUGGUUUUAUACAGACUUUUGGAGAAGCCUGUAUUUAUAAGAAAGUGAGUGGGAGCACUACAAUAUUUCUGAUAAGUAUAUGACAUAUUGUUGAUCGGAAAUGAUGUAGAAUUUUCUGGAAAGCACAAAGGAGAAUUUGAAAGGGAAUUUUCAAAGAAAGACCUCGGUGAAGCUGCUUACAUAUUGAGCAUUAAGAUCUAUAGAGAUAGAUCAAGACGCUUGAUAAGUUUUUUCAAUGAGUACAUACUGUCGUGGAAUAGUCACGGAAGAUGUCCUCGUGAAAGGACUUAGUCAUGGAGCCAUCGCCUCUAGGUUAGCUUAAAGGGGUUAAACAGGACAAAGGACACAGGAAUUAUACUGGUUCGGCCCCUUGUGGUGAAGGUAAAAGCCUACUAUCUAGUUUCGGGUGGUAUUGCUUAUGUCUCGAUUACCAAGGAGCAAAUCCGCUUGACCUAGCUUUCAAUCUCUUGUUUCUUCUCCUGAACCACCGCCGAGUCAUCCCUUUAUAUACACAGGUUGACGCCCAACGGCUCACGGAGUCCAGACCGGCUCAUAGACAACGUGUCCGGCUCGGUGACUACUUUUACAUGCCUUACAAUACAAGUCUUACAUAUAUGUUGGUUUAUACCUACGGGCCUUGAGUCGCCCUUGGGCCUUGGGCCCUUGGCCGUUAACCGCUAUCUUUAAUGUCUUCAUGGGAUUCAUAUCAAGAGUCACCAUAGGUAUAACCUGGCCCCUCCUGGGCGGGUCAUACCAAUAGUUAUAUCCCCAACAUUAGGCCCCAGGUUGAUUUGAACUUGUUCAUGUCAAUCUUCAACACUUAAAAGAAUCUUCCCCUCUUUCUUGUGCGAGAAAUUGUAACCCGCCAUGACGUCACCUCCUGGGAUUGCGAUAACCCGCCAUGACAUCACCUGUCAUAAAUUCACACAAUAUCCGACAUAUCUCAAUGGAUCUUUGUUUCAAUAACUGCCCCAAGAAUCGAGGCGCCUAAGCAGCUGGAUAACCACGUUCUAGCCUCCUCAUUUUUCGCGCCCACUUAUUGGCCUUCCUUAUAAAUAGGGUCGACCAGUUUCUUCUCAUUCUCCCCCUUUCCAUCAUCUUCUUCCUCGCGCGACCCUGUGCCGCUUGAGCUCCCCCGCCGCCGCGAAGCACCUUGUCCUCCUCGACUUUGGCCGCUUCAUCAACCUGUGUCGGAUCAGAGUACACCGGCGCUCCACCAUAGUCGAAUCUGCACCUGUAAGUGCUCUUCCUCCAGUGCGUCAGAUCGCAUUAGGGUUUCAGAUGUUUGUCGUGUUCUUCGUAGUUUCUUCUUAGUUCUUCCACCGUAGCUCCUUUUGAUCUGAAAACGGCAUAGAAUUUGUGCGGCAGUAGUUUUUGCCCUUGAUUCAAUACCAGCGGACCUAUUUCCUUGAGAAUAGAUCUCAUUAGAGCUUAUGAACUCCGCGGUAUAGUUUUAGGUCUUGAUUUAUUUCCUUUUUCCACACGGCGCCAGAUCCAAAUUUAUGAUUGUAGCCUGUGAAACUUGUUUGUCCAACACUUAGUAAAAGUUCUUGCUUCUUGAUAGAUCCACCUAGUCAUGGCGACUCACAUCAUCGGCUGUAGUUAAACUCAAUGCUCAACAAAUUUCUCCUUUGAUAGACAUCAAACUGCUCAUGGCAGCUUACAUAACUGCCAUUCUGCAUAUGUACUGUAAUAUUUUCCGUCCGACUUAGCUUGAACCGGCAAAUUGGUUCUUUUUCCUUUUUAGGCUCCCUUUUCCAUAAUGGCACCCAAAGCAACCACUUCCACAAUGGCGCCCAAGACGACCACUUCCUGCAACUGGGUUCCUUCCAUCAUCACAGAAAACACGCUUGAAGACUUUGUGAAAACCGGAUACUUGCCGAAAAAGUCUGUCAUGUCUUACCACUCCCCCAAGGCGUCAGAAGAAAAACCUCAUCCAAAGGAAGGCGAAGUCAUUGUCUUCACGGAUCAUAUGAAACGGGGCUUCUCACCUCCCGACUCUAAGUUCUUCAGGGACGUUCUGCAUCUUUUCAACCUGCAUCCUCAAGACAUCAGACCCAAUCCCAUGACUAACAUAUGCAAUUUUCAAGUAUUCUGCGAAGUCUACCUUCAAGAGGAGCCCACUGUGGAGUUAUUCAGAGAGUCCUUCUAUUUAAGCUGCCAGAAUGAAUAUUCCAACAGACCCAAUUUGGAGCUUGGUAGGAUCUCAAUCCAACGACGGAGAGAUGCUAUUUUCCCAUACGCAGACCUCCGAGUCACCCCAAAGACUGGAAUCAGACAUGGUUCUACUGCAAAGAUACCUCUCCGGCUGAUGAGAACCCACUGCUCGGCUUUCGCACCCUGCACCUUGAGUCAAAUCACCCUUUCCCUGACAAGCUGACAACUGCUGAACGCAAGAAACUCGCCCAAGUAUUGCUAAGGUUAAGGCUCUAUUGGGAAACGGCUUAACCAUCAUUGAUUUAGUUCAAUGAUGAGUCUCAUGGCGGGUCAUUCCCUUAAGUCGCCGCUCCGUUUUGAUGUGCACCUACACCGGCGCCAAGAAAGAUCCACUACGCCACAGCUCUGAUGACUUAACAGAUGACAUCAUCAAUGAGAUGACAAAGUCUCUCCUGCAUGAAAGUCUAGCAGACUACAGCAAAGUGGGCCUGAGCCCUUUCUGCAAGUCUAACCCGACACCAGGGGUAAGCCGCCAAAUCGUUUAUUUUGCCUUUAGCCUUAAAUACUUUGUUUUAACUCAACCUUGAUGACUUUUACAGGCUGAUGGCGAUUUCUGGAAGAAAGAAUAUGAUCAUGAAGCUGCCAAGAGGGCCAGGAGGGCCAAGAAAGCCGCCAAGAAGACCACCAAGAAGAAAGGAAAGAAACCUAGCGCUUCUGAGCUGCUUGUGCUGGACGACACCUCUGAGUCGAAGAUAGCCCUUGACUCUCUUGGCUCCUUUUUCAACCAUCUUAUUGACAUUGACUAUCAUCAGGAUGACACGGGGACCAGUCAAGCUCUUGAAGAAGAGGUAACUAUCAUCUCAUCUGACUCCGAGCCUUUGCCAAGACAGAAAACCCGAAGAGUAACCCGGAAAGUAAGAUUUUCACACCCCUUAGCUCAUCUGGAUCCUGAUUUUUUUGAAGCAACAUCAGCAUGAGAGCCGGCGACAAACUCGGACUAGCAAAGAUGCAGAACUAUCCUCCAGCUUACCAAAUAUGCCGAGGAAGCGCCAAAAUGAGGUCACCCCCGACUUAAACUCUUUUUAUCCUUUGGAGGGUCUUACUCGUCAACCACUCAAUUCUUCCGACUCAAAUUAUCAGGAAACAUCUCAUUCCUCUUCUGGCAAUUCAAUUCAAUCUAAUCUGCCGGCUUUCAAGACCGCUCCUAGGUAAUAGCGAUUUACUUAUCCUUUAUUCAUUAUGAUCCUCUUAUACUUAUACUGACUCUUAUGACUCAUGCAGUGGAAAAGACAAGCCCAGUAAGAAGGCCAGAGUGAAUAAGCUGGUCGAAGACCCAAAAGCUAGUGGAUCAGAGCCACAAACGGCAGCACCAGAAGACCAUGUUCCUCCAUCAUCAGAGCCGAUUCUUAAUGACCCGACUUCUGACCCACCUAUGGAGCGAGCCAGUGAUGCUCCUUUGAACCCUGAAGUCUCAAAUCCAUUGAAGACGGCCGACACUCAUGAUGAUGACGUGGUGAUCACCAACACCAGCUUUCGAGAACCGGGAAGACCGACUGUUUUGGCCAAACAUUCUGCCAAGGAGGAACACAUUCAACGGCGAAAGGUGAAGUUUGACGUUGCCAACUAGUCUCAACUGAGCAUUGGUGAGGUAUAUUCUGGCUACCUCAGUCAAGUGAACUCCAGCCGUGACAUUGAAGUUGAGAUGGUGAAACAGAUGCACCAAAAAUUUGAGGUAUGAGCUCUUCUUUAAUAAGUUAUGCACAUCCCGCCAGCCCCCAAAUCUACUGUUUAUGAGUAGUUUGAAUAUGAUGUAGACUUGAUUUCUAUGAGCAUAAAUAAUGAUCUUUGAAAGAAUUCUUCCAUUCCGGCUUAAAGCCAUCCGGCUCAAAAUGAAGCUGUAAAUAUAAACGCUGAAUCCAUAGCCCCUAAGGGUCGGUUUAAUCAGCAUGAAUGAGCCGAUCUUUCAUAGUGUUGAAAACAUUACUUACUUGUGUAGCUCUCAUGAGUCGGUUGUUUGUAGCAAAGUUAUCAUAAGACAAGCAAUAUGCAUUAGCCCCCAAGUGCCAAAUACUCUUGCUCGCAAAGUGUUUGGGACUUAUUCACGUAAGCCGUUGUAUGAAGUUUUCCAAUUAACAUUAGUCCCCAAGUGUCAAGUACUCUUGCUUGCAAAGUGCUUGGGACUUCCUUGUUUUAUGAGUCAUAUUUUUGAACCGGCAUAUGCACAGGACACCACUGCUCAACUUGAAUCUCAAUUUGGUGAUUUGAAAUCCUGGCUGGAGUUGCAAGAAUCUGAGACCCAGAAAGCAAACUCCAAAUUUGAAUUCAGUCUGACUGAAUCGGAGAAACUGAAAGCCGACUUUGAAGUUGAGAAAAAAGCCUGGGCUGAAGAGAAGAUUGCAUUGACACAACGGGCUGAGAAAGUGGAGGCGGCUCUUGAGGAGGUGACCACAGAGCUUUCCGUCUUAAAAAGCCAUGUAUCGCAAAUGGUUUCGGCUAUCUUUGGUAAGUCGCCUUAUGAUUGUCAAUUUUGAAUAUCUUCCAGGAUGACAUGAAUCGCCGCUAACCCGUCCAUAAUCAUUAUGCAGGCCCGAGAAGUACCAAUCUGAACCAAGAUAUGGUUGUGAAACUGAAGGCGGUUUACACACUGGUAGAAUAGCUGUAUGUCGGGGCCCGGCGCGCACUGGCAACAAUUUCUCCAUCUAACCAAGCUCCAACGCUCUUAGUUGAAGUCUUGAGGAAGCUUUCCAUGCUGCCUGGGCGGUUUAGUGAGAUGAAGCGAUCAUGUGCAAGAGCCGGAGCUGUGACAGCUUUGAGUCGGGCCAAGGCUUGGCUGCUAGAGCUAGACCCGACUGAUAUAUCAACCGGGUAUCCAAUCUUAAAAGAAGACGGUACCUUGUUUAGCAAGAAAGACUUUGCCAACUGCGUGAAAGACAUACGUCGCCUGGCGAGUCUGAUUGCUAAUGAGACACACCUGUCCAAAUAUCAGCUGGCUUAUGACUUAGAAAAUCAGAAGAUGCCAAUGCCAUUGUACAAAGUGCAUGAUCUGAUACCCCCAAUCCAUAAGCACACUUUCGCCCCUGAAGUUGACCCGGAUGAACUCAUUGAUGAUGAGGCCGAAUUCCAAGCUUUGAGUGGCAUUGACUGGUCAUCCCCAACCUUCCAGGAAGUCGAAGAGGACGAAGACACGGAGAGGGAUGAUCCAGAAGCAUCAGGCCAUCAAAGCCAAGAGGAUUGAGCCGCGGGGUGGUUCAUGUUGGUGAUCUUCCGAAAAACAGUUAAUCAUUUGGACUCGUUGAGUCAUGUAAUAGAGUAGCCAUAACUUUGAUCUGUCGUGCCAUCGCGCAUGUUUAUGUUAUUCUCAACACUAUUAAGCCACCACUUGGAAACAUCUUUUGAGACUUAUCAUGAUGUUGAUUGGUGCAGACGAAUUUUCUUGAUAUAUCCUGCACACAAAUAGAUCGCAAGAGCCCUUUGUUGGAGAUCGUUGCAGAAAAUAAAAAUUUUCUAUGCAUCACCAAGAUCAAUCUAUGGAGUCAUCUAGCAACGAGAUAGAGAGGAGUGCAUCUACAUACCCUUGUAGAUCGCGAGCGGAAGCGUUCAAGAGAACGGGGUUGAUGGAGUCGUACUCAUCGUGAUCCAAAUCACCGAUGAUCCUAGCGCCGAACGGACGGCACCUCCGUGUUCAACACACGUAUGGAGCGGAGACCUCUCCCGCACCUUGGUCCAGCAAGGAGGAGGGAGAGGUUGAGGAAGAAAGCUCCAACAGCAGCACGACGGCGUGCUGGUGAUGGAGAGGCAGUACUCCGGCAGGGCUUCGCCAAGCUUAUGCGGAGGAGGAGAGGUGUUGGGGAGGGGAGGGGCUGCGCCUUGGAGGUGUGUGUGCAGCCCUCCCCUCGCCCCUCUAUUUAUAGGGGGAGGAGAAAGGGGGCCGGCCCCUCUAGAUGAGAUCUAGAGGGGGGCAGCGACCAAGGGGGGGGGGGACUUGCCCCCCAAGCAAGGGGGGCGCCCCCCUUAGGAUUUCACCCCAACCCUAGGUGCAUGGGCCCAAGGGGGGAUGCGCCCAGCCCUCUAAGGGCUGGUUCCCUUCCCACUAUGGCCCUUGAGGCCCUCCGGGAGAGGUGGCCCCUCCCGGUGGACCCUCGGAACCCUUCCGGUGGCCCCGGUACAAUACCGGUAUGCCCCGGAACUUUUCCGGUGACCGUAUGUCAACUUCCUAUAUAUAAAUCUUCAGCUCCGGAGCAUUCCGGAACUCCUCGUGACGUCCGGGAUCUCAUCCGGGACUUUGAACAACAUUCAGUAAUCACAUACAAGUCUUCCUAAUAACCCUAGCGUCACCGAACCUUAAGUGUGUAGACCCUACGGGUUCGGGAAUCACAUAGACAUGACCGAGACAGCUCUCUGUCCAAUAACCAACAGAGGGAUAUGGAUACCCAUGUUGGCUCCCACAUGUUCCAGGAUGAUCUCAUCGGAUGAACCACGAUGUCGAGGAUUCAAGUAAUCCCAUAUAUAAUUCCCUUUGUCACACGGUAUGUUACUUGCCCGAGAUUCGAUCGUCGGUAUCCCAAUACCUCGUUCAAUCUCGUUUCCGGAAAGUCACUUUACUCGUUCCGUAAUGCAUGAUCCCGUGACCAACCACUUGGUCACAUUGAGCUCAUUAUGUUGAUGCAUUACCGAGUGGCCCCAGAGAUACCUCUCCGUCAUACGGAGUGACAAAUCCCAGUCUCGAUUCAUGCCAACCCAAGAGACACUUUCGGAGAUACUUGUAGUGCACCUUUAUAGUCACCCAGUUACGUUGUGACGUUUGGUACACCCAAAGCACUCCUGCGGUAUCCGGGAGUUACACAAUCUCAUGGUCUAAGAAACUGAUACUUGACAUUAGAAAAGCUUUAGCAAACGAACUACACGAUCUUGUGCUAUGCUUAGGAUUGGGUCUUGUCCAUCACAUCAUUCUCCUAAUGAUGUGAUCCCGUUAUCAAUGACAUCCAAUGUCCAUAGUCAGGAAACCAUGACUAUUUGUUGAUCAACGAGCUAGUCAACUAGAAGCUCACUAGGGACACAUUGUGGUCUAUGUAUUCACACAUGUAUCACUGUUUCCGGUUAAUACAAUUAUAGCAUGAACAAUAGACAAUUAUCAUGAACAAGGAAAUAUAAUAAUAAUCAGUUUAUUAUUGCCUCUAGGGCAUAUUUCCAACAGUCUCCCACUUGCACUAGAGUCAAUAAUCUAGUUACACUGUGAUGAAUCGUACACCCAUAGAGUUCUGGUGUUGAUCAUGUUUUGCUCGCGGAAGAGGUUUAGUCAACGGAUCUGCGACAUUCAGAUCCGUAUGCACUUUGCAAAUAUCUAUAUCUCCAUCUUGAACAUUUUCACGAAUGGAGUUGAAGCGACGCUUGAUGUGCCUGGUCUUCUUAUGAAACCUGGGCUCCUUUGCAAGGGCAAUAGCUCUAGUGUUGUCACAGAAGAGAGUGAUCGGCCCCGACGCAUUGGGAAUAACUCCUAGGUUGGUGAUGAACUCCUUCAUCCAGAUUGCUUCAUGCACUGCCUUCGAGGCUGCCAUGUACUCCGCUUCACAUGUAGAUCCCGCCACGAUGCUCUGCUUGCUGCUGCACUAGCUUACUGCCCCACCAUUCAAAAUAUACACGUAUCCGGUUUGUGACUUGGAGUCAUCCAGAUCUGUGUCAAAGCUAGCAUCGACGUAACCCUUUAUGACGAGCUCUUCGUCACCUCCAUAAACGAGAAACAUAUCCUUAGUCCUUUUUAGGUACUUCAGGAUAUUCUUGACCGCUGUCCAGUGUUCCAUGCCGGGAUUACUUUGGUGUCUUGCAACCAAACUUACGACAAGGUUUACAUCAUGUCUGGUACACAGCAUGGCAUACAUAAUAGACCCUUUGGCCAAGGCAUAGGGGAUGACACUCAUCUUUUCUUUAUCUUCUGCCAUGGUCGGGGAUUGAGCCGAGCUCAAUUUCACACCUUGCAACACAGGCAAGAACCCCUUCUUGGACUGAUCCAUAUUGAACUUCUUCAAUAUCUUGUCAAGGUAUGUGCUUUGUGAAAGACCUAUGAGGCAUCUCGAUCUAUCUCUAUACAUCUUGAUACCUAAUAUAUAAGCAACUUCUCCAAGGUCCUUCAUUGAAAAACACUUAUUCAAGUAGGCCUUUAUGUUGUCCAAGAGUUCUAUAUCAUUUCCCAUCAAAAGUAUGUCAUCCACAUAUAAUAUGAGAAAUGCCACAGAGAUCCCACUCACUUUCUUGUAAACGCAGGCUUCUCCAUAAGUGUGCAUAAACCCAAAUGCUUUGAUCAUCUCAUCAAAGCGAAUGUUCCAACUCCGAGAUGCUUGCACCAGCCCAUAAAUGGAUCGCUAGAGCUUGCGUACCUUGUUAGCAUUCUUAGGAUUGACAAAACCUUACGGCUGCAUCAUAUACAAUUCUUCCUUAAGAUAGCCGUUAAGGAAUGCCGUUUUCACGUCCAUUUGCCAUAUCUCAUAAUCAUAGUAUGCGGCAAUUGCUAACAUGAUUCGGACGGACUUCAGCUUCACUACGGGAGAGAAAGUCUCAUCGUAGUCAACCCCUUGAACUUGCUGAUAACCCUUAGCGACAAGUCAAGCUUUAUAGAUGGUAACAUUACCAUCCGCGUCCGUCUUCUUCUUAAAGAUCCAUUUAUUUUCUAUCGCUCGCCGAUCAUCGGGCAAGUCUGUCAAAGUCCAUACUUUGUUUUCAUACAUGGAUCCUAUCUCGGAUUUCAUGGCUUCAAGCCAUUUGUUGGAAUCUGGGCCCGCCAUCGCUUCUUCAUAGUUCGAAGGUUCACCAUUGUCUAACAACAUGAUUUCCAGGACAGGGUUGCCAUACCACUCCAGUGUGGAACGUGUCCUUGUGGACCUACGAAGUUCAGUAGUAACUUGAUCCGAAGUACCUUGAUAAUCAUCAUUAAUUUCCUCUCUAGUCGGUGCAGGCACCACAGGAACAUCUUCCUGAGCUGCGCUACUUACCAGUUCAAGAGGCAGUACUUCAUCAAGUUCCACUUUCCUCCCACUUACUUCUUUCGAGAGAAACUCUUUCUCCAGAAAGGACCCAUUCUUGGCAACAAAGAUCUUGCCUUCGGAUCUGAGGUAGAAGGUAUACCCAAUGAAUUCCUUAGGGUAUCCUAUGAAGACACAUUUUUCCGACUUGGGUUCGAGCUUUUCAGGUUGAAGUUUCUUGACAUAAGCAUCGCAUCCCCAAACUUUUAGAAAUAACAGCUUAGGUUUCUUUCCAAACCAUAAUUCAUGCGGUGUCGUCCCAACGGAUUUAGACGGUGCCCUAUUUAAAGUGAAUGUAGCUGUCUCUAAAGCGUAUCCUCAAAAUGGAAGUGGUAAAUCGGUAAGAGACAUCAUAGACCGCACCAUAUCAAUAGAGUGCGAUUACGACGUUCGGACACACCAUUACACUGAGGUGUUCUAGGCGGCGUGAGUUGUGAAACAAUUCCACAUUUCCUUAAGUGCGUACCAAACUCGUGACUUAAAUAUUCUCCCCCACAAUCUGAUUGUAAGAACUUUAUUUUUCUGUCACAUUGAUUCCCUACCUCAUUCUGAAAUUCCUUGAACUUUUCAAAGGUCUCUGACUUGUGUUUCCUUAAGUAGACAUACCCAUAUCUACUUAAGUCAUCAGUGAGGGUGAGAACAUAAUGAUAGCCAUCGCGAGCCUCAACGCUCAUUGGACCGCACACAUCAGUAUGUAUAGUCUCCAAUAAGUUGGUUGCUCGCUCCGUUGUUCCGGAGAACGGAGUCUUGGUCAUUUUGCCCAUGAGGCAUGGUUCACACGUGUCAAAUGAUUCGAAAUCAAGAGAUUCCAAAAGUCCAUCUGUAUGGAGCUUCUUCAUGCGUUUGACACCAAUGUGACCAAGGCGGCAGUGCCACAGAUAUGUGGGACUAUCAUUAUCAAUCUUACAUCUUUUGGUAUUCACACUAUGAAUAUGUGUAACAUCACGUUCGAGAUUCAUUAAGAAUAAACCAUUGACAAGCGGGGCAUGACCAUAAAACAUAUCUCUCAUAUAAAUAGAACAACCAUUAUUCUCGGAUUUAAAUGAGUAGCCAUCUCAUAUUAAACGAGAUCCAGAUACAAUGUUCAAGCUCAAAGCUGGCACUAAAUAACAAUUAUUGAGGUUUAAAACUAAUCCUGUGUAUAAAUGUAGAGGUAGCGUGCCGACGGCGAUCACAUCGACCUUGGAACCAUUCCCGACGCGCAUCGUCACCUCAUCCUUCUCCAGUCUCCUCUUAUUCCGCAGCUCCUGUUUUGAGUUACAAAUAUGAGCAACUGCACCGGUAUCAAAUACCCAUGAGCUACUACGAGUACUGGUAAGGUACACAUCAAUAACAUGUAUAUCAUAUAUACCUUUGGUGUUGCCGGCCUUCUUAUCCGCUAAGUACAUGGGGCAGUUCCGCUUAUAGUGACCGUUCCCCUUGCAAUAAAAGCACUCAGUCUCAGGUUUGGGUCCGUGCUUUGGCUUCUUCCCGGUAACUGGUUUACCGGGCGCGGCAACUCCCUUUCCGUCCUUCUUGAAGUUCUUAUUACCCUUGCCUUUCUUGAAACUAGUGGUUUUAUUGGCCAUCAACACUUGAUGUUCCUUUUUGAUUUCUACCUCCGCUGAUUUCAGCAUUGAAAAUACCUUAGGAAUAGUUUUCACCAUCCCCUGCAUAUUGUAGUUCAUCACAAAGCUCUUGUAGCUAGGUGGGAGCGACUGGAGGAUUCUGUCGAUGACCGCCUCAUCCGGGAGGUUAAUGUCCAGCUGGGACAAGCGGUUGUGCAACCCAGACAUUUUGAGUAUGUGCUCGCUGACAGAACUAUUUUCCUCCAUCUUACAACUAUAGAACUUGUCGGAGACUUCAUAUCUCUCGACCCGGGCAUGAGCAUGGAAAACCAUUUUUAGCUCUUGGAACAUCUAUAUGCUACGUUUUGCUCAAAACGCUUUUGGAGCCCGGUUCUAAGCUGUAAAGCAUGCCGCACUGAACGAGGGAGUAAUCAUCAACACGUGACUGCCAAGCAUUCAUAACAUCUUGGUUCGCUGGGACGGGUGCUUCACCGAGUGGUGCUUCUAGGACAUAUGCUUUCUUGGCAGCUAUGAGGAUGAUCCUCAGGUUCCGGACCCAGUCCGUAUAGUUGCUGCCAUCAUCUUUCAGCUUGGUUUUCUCUAGGAACGCGUUGAAGUUGUGGUUGACAUGAGCGUGGGCCAUUUGAUCUACAAGACAUUUUGCAAAGGUUUUAGACUAAGAUCAUGAUAAUUAAGUUCAUCUAAUCAAAUUAUUUAAUGAACUCCCACUCAGAUAUACAUCUCUCUAGUCAUCUAAGUGAUACAUGAUCCGAGUCAACUAGGCCGUGUCCGAUCAUCACGUGAGAUGGACUAGUCAUCAUCGGUGAACAUCCCCAUGUUGAUCGUAUCUUCUAUAUGACUCAUGUUCGACCUUUCGGUCUCUUGUGUUCCGAGGCCAUGUCUGUACAUGCUAGGCUCGUCAAGUCAACCUAAGUGUUUUGCAUGUGUAAAUCUGGCUUACACCCGUUGUAUGUGAACGUUAGGAUCUAUCACACCCAAUCAUCACGUGGUGCUUCGAAACAACAAACUUUCGCAACGGUGCACAGUUAGGUGGAACACUUUCUUGAAAUUGUUAUGAGGGAUCAUCUUAUUUACUACCGUCGUUCUAAGCAAAUAAGAUGCAAAAACAUGAUAAACAUCACAUGCAAUCAAAUAGUGACAUGAUAUGGCCAAUAUCAUUUUGCUCCUUUGAUCUCCAUCUUCGGGGCGCCAUGAUCAUCAUCGUCACCGGCAUGACACCAUGAUCUCCAUCAUCAUGAUCUCCAUCAUCGUGUCUCCAUGAAGUUGUCUCGCCAACUAUUACUUCUACUACUAUGGCUAACGGUUUAGCAAAGAAGUAAAGUAAUUACAUGGCGUUAUUCAGUGACACGCAGGUCAUACAAUAAAUAAAGACAACUCUUAUGGCUCCUGCCAGUUUUCAUACUCAUCGACAUGCAAGUCGUGAUUCCUAUUACAAGAACAUGAUCAAUCUCAUACAUCACAUAUAUUUCAUUCAUCACAUCCUUUUGGCCAUAUCACAUCACAAGGCAUAUGCUGCAAAAACAAGUUAGACGUCCUCUAAUUGUUGUUGCAAGUUUUUACGUGGCUGCUAUAUGGUUCUAGCAAGAAUGUUUCUUACCUACGCCAAAACUACAACCUGAUAUGCCAAUUUCUAUUUACCCUUCAUAAGGACCCUUUUCAUCGAAUCCGAUCCGACUAAAGUGGGAGAGACAGACACCCACUAGCCACCUUAUGCAACUAGUGCAUGUCAGUCGGUGGAACCUGUAUCACGUAAGCGUACGUGUAAGGUCGGUCCGGGCCGCUUCAUCCCACGAUGCCGCCGAAACAAGAUAAGACUAGUAGUGGCAAGUAAAUUGACAAAAUCUACGCCCACAACAAAAUUGUGUUCUACUCGUGCAUAGAAACUACGCAUAGACCUAGCUCUGAUACCACUGCUGGAGAUCGUUGCAGAAAAUAAAAAAAUUCUACACAUCACCAAGAUCAAUCUAUGGAGUCAUCUAACAACGAGAGAGAGAGGAGUGCAUCUACAUACCCUUGUAGAUCGCGAGCGGAAGCAUUCAAGAGAAUGGGGUUGAUAGAGUCGUACUCGUCGUGAUCCAAAUCACCGAUGAUCCUAGCGUUGAACGGACGGCACCUCCGCGUUCAACACACAUACAGAGCGGAGACGUCUCCCGCGCCUUGAUCUAGGAAGGAGGAGGGAGAGGUUGAGGAAGAAAGCUCCAAUAGCAGCACGGCAGCGUGGUGGUGAUGGAGAGGCAGUACUCCGGCAGGGCUUCGCCAAGCUUCUGCGGAGGAGGAGAGGUGUUGGGGAGGGGAGGGGCUGCGCCUUGGAGGUGUGUGUGCAGCCCUCCCCUCGCCCCUCUAUUUAUAGGGGGAGGAGCAAGGGGGCCGGCCCCCUCUAGAUGAGAUCUAGAGGGGGGGCGGCGACCAAGGGGGGGGGGACUUGCCCCCCAAUCAAGGGAGGACGCCCCCCUUAGGAUUUCACCCCCAACCCUAGGCGCAUGGGCCCAAGGGGGGAUGCGCCCAGCCCUCUAAGGGCUGGUUCCCUUCCCACUACGGACCUUGAGGCCCUCCGGGAGAGGUGGCCCCUCACGGUGGACCCCCGAACCCUUCCGGUGGCCCCGGUACAAUACUGGUAUGCCCCGAAACUUUUCCGGUGACCGUAUGUCAACUUCCUAUAUAUAAAUCUUCACCUCCGGACCAUUCCGGAACUCCUCGUGACGUCCAACAUCUCAUCCGGGACUCCGAACAACAUUCGGUAAUCACAUACAAGUCUUCCUAAUAACCAUAGCGUCACCGAACCUUAAGUGUGUAGACCCUACGGGUUCGGGAAUCACGUAGACAUGACUGAGACAUCUCUCCGGCCAAUAACCAACAGCGGGAUCUGGAUACCCAUGUUGGCUCCCACAUGUUCCACGAUGAUCUCAUCGAAUGAACCACGAUGUCGAGGAUUCAAGUAAUCCCGUAUACAAUUCCCUUUGUCACACGGUUCGUUACUUGCCCGAGAUUCGAUCGUCGGUAUCCCAAUACCUCGUUCAAUCCCAUUUCCGGCAAGUCACUUUAUUCGUUCCGUAAUGCAUGAUCCCAUGACCAACCACUUGGUCACAUUGAGCUCAUUAUGAUGAUGCAUUACUGAGUGGGCCUAGAGAUACCUCUCCAUCAUACGGAGUGACAAAUCCCAGUCUCGAUUCGUGCCAACCCAACAGACACUUUUGGAGAUACCUGUAGUGCACCUUUAUAGUCACUUAGUUACGCUAUGACGCUUGGUACACCCAAAGCACUCCUACGGUAUCCGGGAGUUACACAAUCUCAUGGUCUAAGAAAUUGAUACUUGACACUAGAAAAGCUUUAGCAAACGAACUACACGAUCUUGUGCUAUGCUUAGGAUUGGGUCUUGUCCAUCACAUCAUUCUCCUAAUGACGUGAUCCCGUUAUCAAUGACAUCCAAUGUCCAUAGUCAGGAAACCAUGACUAUCUAUUGAUCAACGAGCUAGUCAACUAGAAGCUCACUAGGGACACGUUGUGGUCUAUGUAUUCACACAUGUAUCACUGUUUCUGGUUAAUACAAUUAUAGCAUGAACAAUAGACAAUUAUCAUGAACAAGGAAAUAUAAUAAUAAUCAUUUUAUUAUUGCCAUUAGGGCAUAUUUCCAACACCCUUGGCGGUUCACCACAGGGCGGAUCAUAAUAUCUCAUGUAUAUAACCACUGAGGUGUAAAACAUAGUCAUGGGUAAGGCUGGUAUGAACCAGAACUUUUAAACAUACUAUAACAACAAUAUCAUACCUGUGAUACUGUAUUGAACUGCCGGCUUAUGUUACAUGUGCAGUAAGGGUGAUAUCCCAAUCUUGAGAAGCUAAUACAUCCAAAUACUUGUGUUUGUCAUAUGCUGGCGACUUAUCGUCGAAAGUCAAGCCGGGUGAAAUAGAGACCACAUAUAUGCUUCAGAUAUGAGCAAAAAGGUAUCCAGAGAAACCCAAAAGACUGUUUCAAAAAGCUCAAGUCAAAAAAGAGAGAAAAAACACAAGGCUCUGAUUCACAUACAAUCAGUAAGCCGGACCGAAAGGGUUAAUGGCUAUGAUUCGAAUACGACCAGGAAGCCCCCAAGUGGUUUGUGGCAUUACGCCGAUCAAGAGGGUACCGACAGCUAUGUUUUCUUUGGUGAAUACACGUAUGUUUGAACAGGAAGCCCCCAAGUGACCAUGAAGCUUUUUGACGACUCUAAUUCGAAUACGAUCAGUAAGCCGGACCAAAAGGGGUUAAGCUAUGAUUCGGAUAUGAUCUAGCCCCCAAAUGAUCAAAUUGUUUGAACGGUUAUGAUUCGAAUAUGAUCAGGAAGCCGUGCCGAAGGGGUUAAGCUUGAUUUGAAUACGAUUAGUCCCCAAUGGUCUAAAUAUUUAACGACCUGGGUUCGAAUACGAUUAGCAAGUCGGACCACCAGGGGUUAAGCUAUGAUUCGAAUAAGAUCAAGCCCCCAAGUGAUCAAAAGAUUUGAACAGCUAUGAUUUGAAUAUGAUCAGGAAGCUGUGCCAAAGGAGUUAAGCUAGAUUCGAAUACGAUCAGCCCCCAAUGGUUUAAAUGUUUAACGACCUGGAUUCGAAUACGAUCAGCAAGUUGGACCGCCAGGGGUUAAGCUGUGAUUCGAAUAUGAUCUAGCCCCCGAGUGAUCAAAAGGUUUGAACAACUAUGAUUCGAAUACAAUCAAGAAGUUGUGCCAAAGGAGUUAAGCUAGAUUCGAAUACGAUCAGCCCCCAAUGGUCUUGGAAGUAUGGCGAAGAAGAAUCAUUAUUGAGGAUAAAAAUGACAAAGGUCUUGCUUUAUUAUAAUCAUCAUAAUAUAUACAUUGUCAUAAUAUGUACAUCAUAAGAGCCGGUGGCUCAAGUGUAGUAAGGCCGAAGAUGAGCAAUAUUCCAUGGUCGACGGGUCUCCUCCUCCGACUUACGUGAGUAUUUGUGCUCUCGAAUAUCGAUAAGGUAGUAUGACCCAUUGUUCAAGUUCUUAUUGACCACAAAGGGCCCUUCCCAAGGUGGGGAUAACUUGUGCACAUCAGUUUGAUCCCGGAUGAGCCGGAGCACCAAAUCGCCUUCUUGAAAGGUUCUAGACUUGACCCGACGGUUGUGGUAAUGGCGCAGAUCUUGUUGGUAAAUAGCCGAGCGGGCUGCCGCCGGGUCAUGCUUAUCAUCUAACAGGUCAAGUGCCUCUUGACGUGCUUGUUCAUUAUCAGCCUCAACAUAGGCCACCACACGAGGCGAGUCAUGAUGGAUGUCACUAGGAAGAACCGCCUCUGCUCCAUAAACCAUGAAGAAAUGCGUAUAACCCGUAGAUCUAUUGGGGGUAGUAUUGAUACUCCAUAUCACCGAAGUUAACUCCUCCACCCAACAACCCGACGUCCGUUGCAAAGGAACCAUAAGCCGGGGCAUGAUGCCUUUCAAAAUUUCUUGAUUGGCUCUUUCAGCUUGACCAUUGGACUGGGGUGAGCUACUGAUGAAACGUCAAGUCGAAUAUGCUCACAUUGACAAAACUCCUCCAUGGCACCCUUGGACAGAUUAGUGCCGUUGUCAGUGAUAAUGCUGUGUGGAAAACCAAAACGAAAAAUCACCUUUUUGAGGAAUUGAACCACCGUGGCUGCGUCACGCUUACUGACUGGCUCUGCCCCAACCCACCUUUUGAAUUUAUCAACCGCCACCAAAAGGUGGGUCUUUUUAUCCUUGGACCUUUUAAAACGCCCAACCAUAUCAAGCCCCCAGACCACAAAUGGCCAAGUGAUUGGAAUCAUCCUCAAUUCUUGGGCCGGCACAUGAGCUCGCCGUGAGAUUUCUGACAACCGUCACAUUUACUGACCAAAUCCUCUGCAUCCGCAUGAGCCGUCAGCCAAUAAAAUCCAUGACGAAAAGCUUUGGCCACAAGGGACUUUGAACCGGCAUGAUGACCACAGUCCCCUUCAUGAAUCUCACGAAGGAUCUCACGGCCUUCUUCGGGAAAGACGCAACGUUGAAACGCCCUAGUGACACUGCGAUGGUGUAACUUGCCAUUGGCAAUUGUCAUUGACUUAGACUGCCGGGUUAUCUACCUGGCUAAAGUUUCAUCCUCAGGUAACUCACCCCGAGUCAUAUAAGCCAAAUAUGGUACUGUCCAAUCUGCGAUAGCGUGAAGAGCCGCCACCAAUUGUGCCUCCGGGUCAGGAACAACCAGAUCCUCCUCUGUAGGCAAUUUGACAGAAGGAUUAUGAAGAACAUCCAAAAAGGUGGUAGACGGGACCGGCUUACGCUGAGACCCUAGACGACUUAAGGCGUCAGCCACCUCAUUUUUCCUGCGAUCAAUGUGUUCCACCCGAUAGCCCUUGAAAUGUCCAGCAAUUGCAUCAACCUCACGGCGAUAAGCCGCCAUCAGUGGGUCCUUGGAAUCCUAUUUGCCCGAAACCUGCUGAGCUACCAAGUCUGAGUCACCGAAACAUCUCACCCGGCUUAAGUUCAUCUCCUUAGCCAUCCGAAGACCAUGAGCAAGGCUUCAUACUCAGUUGCAUUGUUAGUACAAGGAAACAUCAACCUUAAAACAUAACAGAACUUGUCACCUAGAGGGGAAGCUAACACCACUCCAGCCCCCGAGCCUUCCAAUUGCCUAGACCCAUCAAAGUGAAUAGUCCAAUAUGUGUUAUCUGGCUUCUCUUCACGCAUCCGUAGUUCUGUCCAGUCAUUGAUGAAAUCCACCAGUGCCUGAGACUUGAUGGCGGUACGAGGUACAUACUUCAAACCAUGAGGUCCAAGCUCAAUGGCCCACUUGGCUACUCGUUAUGUGGCUUCUCUGUUUUGAAUAAUAUCUCCAAAAGGAGCCGAACUAACCAUAGUGAUGGGAUGACCCAAGAAAUACUACUUAAGCUUCCGGCUGGCCAUGAACACCCCAUAAUCAAGCUUCUAUCAAUUCGGAUACCUCUGCUUGGACGCAAUGAGCACCUCACUGAUAUAAUAAACCGGCCGUUGAACCGGAUAUUCCUUGCCCACCUCCUUCCGUUCCACCACAACAGCUACACUGACAGCCCGGGCGUUAGCAGCCACAUAUAACAACAACAGUUCCUUAUCAAUAGGAGCUCCAAGGACUGGCGACUCAGCUAGUUGUUUCUUCAAGUCUUCAAAUGCGUCGUUAGCAGCAUCACUCCAGACGAAGUCGUCUGUCUUCUUCAUCAUCUGAUACAGUGGUAUGGCCUUCUCACCUAACCGGCUUAUGAACCGGCUUAAAGCGGCAAUACAACCCGCCAGCCACUGAACAUCAUUGAUACACGCCGGUUUUGCCAAAGAGGUAAUGGCCUUGAUCUUCUCCGGGUUAGCCUCAAUGCCUCUCUUAGAAACCAGAAACCCCAAAAGCUUGCCUGCUGGUACACCAAAGACACACUUGGUCGGGUUAAGCAUCACAAUGUAGACCCGGAGGUUAUCAAAGGUCUCCUUCAAAUCAUCUACCAAAGUUUCUUUCUCUCUGGAUUUCACCAUGAUAUCAUCCACAUAAGCCUGAACAUUGCGCCCAAUCUAAUUGUGGAGACAAUUCUGCACACAAGCUGGUAAGUCACCUGAGCACUCUUGAGCCCAAAAGGCAUAGACACAUAGCAGAAGGCUCCAAAGAGAGUAAUAAAAGUUGUCUUCUCCUGGUCCUUAACCGCCAUCUUGAUCUGAUGAUAACCAGAGUAACUAUCCAAAAACUCAAAUGCUCACAUCCCGCCAUAGCAUCAAUGAUUUGAUCAAUAUGAGGGAGAGCAAAAGCAUCAACCAGAGAAGCCUUGUUUAAGUCCGUGUAAUCCACACACAUACGCCAAGUACCAUUCUUCUUAAGCACCAGCACCGGAUUAGCCAACCACUUAGGGUGGAAAACUUCAACGAUGAACCCAACCGCUAAGAGCCGGGCCACCUCUUCUCCAAUGGCUUUGUGCCUCUCCUCAUUGAAGCGACGAAGGAAUUGCUUGACCGGCUUAAAUUUUGGAUCAGUAUUGAGAGUGUGCUCAGCGAGUUCCCUCGGUACACCCGGCAUGUCAGAAGGUUUCCAUGCAAAGAUGUCCCGGUUCUUACGGAUGAACUUGAUGAGCGCGCUUUCCUAUUUAGGAUCCAGAUUAGCACUGAUACUGAACUGCUUGGAUGAAUCGCCAUGAACAAAGUCAAUGAGUUUAGUAUCAUCAGCCGACUUAAACUUCAGCACCGGAUCAUGCUCUGUAGUUGGUUUCUUCAAAGAUGUCAUAUCCGCCGGGUCAACAUAAUCCUUGUAAAAUUUCAACUCUUCUGUUGCACAAACAGACUCAACAUAAGCCGCAUCACCUUCUUCACAUUCCAAGGCUACCUUUCAACUCCCAUGCACUGUGAUGGUCCCCUUGUAUCCCGGCAUCUUGAGCUACAGAUAAACAUAACACAGCCGUGCCAUGAACUAGACGUAAGCCGACCGUCCAAACAGAGCGUGGUACGGGCUUUUGAUCUUGACCACUUCAAAAGUUAACUUCUCAGCCCUGGAAUCAUGCUUCUCCAAAGGCUACUUCUAGUUCAAUCUUGCCAACGGGGUAUGCCGACUUACCAGGCACCACUCCAUGGAAAACCGUAUUAGACUGCUUAAGGUUCUUAUCAUUUCACCCCAUGCACCGGAAGGUUUCAUAAUAAAGGAUAUUAAUGUUGCUACCUCCAUCCAUGAGUAUCUUAGUGAACUUGUAUCCACCGACUUGAGGUGCCACCACCAAAGCCAAGUGACCUCGGUUAUCAACCCGGGGCGGGUGAUCCACUCGACUCCACAUAAUGGGUUGCUCAGACCAUCGCAAGUAAUGGGGAACUGCCGGCUCAACGGCGUUCACAACCCUCUUGUGAAGCUUCUGGUCCCGCUUGCACAAACUUGUGGUGAAAACAUGAUACUGCCCACUAUUCAACUGUUUAGGAUGACUUUGAUAUCCGGACUGCUGCUACUGCUGACCCCCCUGGCCGGAUUGCUGAUUGAAACCACCCUGGUUACUUUGAUUAUAUCCACCCUGAUUACUUGGGUGGCCCUGGAAGCCGGAAUUAGAACCGCCACCUCCAUAACCCGGGCCAUGAGAACCGCCACCACCUGAGCCGCCGCACGGUCCGUGAUUGCCAUCAAAUGAGUUAAGGUUUUUAAAAGCCUUCAUAAUCGUACAAUCUUUCCAAAGGUGAGCAGCCGGUUUCUCCUAUGUGCCAUGCCUUGGACAAGGCUCAUUCAACGACUGCUCAAGAGUAGGACCUGAUCCGCUGGUCCGAGGAGGCGGCCUCUCCUUAUGACACUGAUUAUUACCCUGUGCAUUGGUGUUAGCCACAAACUCCGAGCUACCAUCAGCCUUGCGUUUACCAUUGCCCCCUUGAUUCGCUGGGUUAUGCUGCGGACCGUUGGCGUUGCCACUCUUCUUUCCCUUUCCCGGUUUAUCAUCAUCAGACUCGGGGUCCUUGGUACUAUCAGAGUUGGCAUAUUUGGUUAAGGUUGCCAUCAGCUACCCCAUAUCAUUACAAUCGCGCUUGAGCCGCCCCAGCUCCUGCUUGAGAGGCUCAAAACGGUAAUUUUUCUCCAACAUUAAGACUGCAGAGCCGACAUUCAUGUUAUCAGAUGAAUGUAUGAUAGCUUUAACCCGGCACACCCAAUGGGUUGUUGAUUCACCCUCCUCCUGGGCGCAAGUAGCCAAGUCCACAAUCGACAUAGGCUGUUUGCACGUGUCUUUGAAGUUCUGAAUAAACCGGCCUUUAACUCAGCCCACAACCAGAUAGAAUUAGCGGGCAGCCCUUUUAACCAAUUACGGUCCGUUCCAUCUAGCAUCAUGGUAAAAUACUUAGCACACGCAGCAUCAUUGACCUCCAAUAGCUCCAUGGCCAUCUCAUAACUUUCAAUCCACGCCUCAGGGGGUAAGUCGGCUGUGUAAUUAGGCACCUUAUGAGGCCCUUUGAAAUCCUUAGGCAAACGCUCAUUACGCAGAGCCGACACCAAACAGGGCACACCUGUAGACCUAGAGGUCACGCCUGCCUCCAGAGAAGCCGUCGGAUAAGCCAGAAGCUGCUGAUAAACCACUGGUUCCGCCUGCUCCACUUCUUGACACAUCCUGCCCGGAUCGACCGCACCCUGAGCUCCAUUACCUGUUGGGUCAUGCCCACGUGACCGCUCACGGCGCUGGGCAUUGCUUGAAACAACUGGUGAGUCCAUGUAUCUGCUAUAGCUCCGGCUUGGACGAGGAGUCGAAUGAAUCCUAUCUCGGCUGUAAGAGUACACCUCCUGCUGUACCAUUGCCAUUUGAAGAAGCUCCUUAACCCUUCGUCUUUCAACUGCUGCUGGAGAAUCACCUUCCACUGGGUGAGCCGCCAAUCAUGUAGCUGCAACGAUCAUAUUAUCCAACGAGUUAGAAUAAUGACCCAGUGGUGUUGGCACGUGCUGAGGCGGAACAGUGUUCAAAUGAGGUGGCUCCGUCACGCGUGGUUGAGUCGGUGUUCUAGCCCUAGGAGCGGUGUCCCGGUUUAACUGCAGCGGGUUACUGGGUCCCGCUCCAGGCGUGCAAAAGAGAUUCCUCCCCUCAUAAACCAGAGGUAGACGAGACAUGUGCCUCCUCCUCAUGACUUCAUUUAAAGCGUUUUGAUCCAUCAUAAGCUGGUAGGCCUCUGCUUGGAUCCGCUGCGCCUGGGCAUCCAAGGCAGCUCGCUCUGCAGCCAUCCUGACGUCCUCAACCGCCAGGUCUGCUUUGUCCUGUUCUAUCUCUUCUCACAACUUUGUAACUUCUACGUUGCGCUGCUCUCGAUUCGCCGGGCUGACCUCUGUUGUCAUCAAGGCCGUCAAGUUAUCCAACAAGUCUGUCAAAACUUGAGCCGGCGGGCGCACAGGGCCUCCUGCCCCGGCUGCCAUCGCUGCAGCUGACCCGGGAGACAUUGUUGGCAUAGUUGAGGGAGUCUGCACAGGCUGUGUCCCGGCCAUAAAGAUUGCAACCCGCUUCGGCGGCUCAAAGGGAUCCGAAAUACUGUCGCCAUCAGAAUAGCCCCCAAGCCUACCAUCUUGUAGUUGAUACAACGAAGUAGUCUCACCCGUGGAUGACUCACCAUCAGAGUAGAUGGACGUCUCACCGCCAGACAUAGAUCCUUCAUCAAAUUCCCCUCCAUGGAUGCAUCCCACGAAGGCACGCUUCACGGCGGGUUGAGCUCGGGCGGGUCUUGCACGCUGAGCCGUCUCGAUGAUGUCAGUGCAGAUGUUUGGCUCAGGGCCCGGCUCGCCAAUCUUGCCGAUGAAGACGUGAAUUCUGCCGAAGGGGACCCGGUACCCGUACUCGAUUGAGCCGGCCUCGGGGCCCGAGCCUGCAUCAUCGAUGUAGAGCUUGCCACGACGACUCUUGGUCAUCCAGCCCACAGCAUAUCCCUUGAUCCCUUCGAAGCUGCCCUUCAAGAACCUGAAACCACCGUGCGCUGGCCCCAUAGUGGGCGCCAACUGUCAUGGAAUAGUCACGACAGAUGUCCUCGUGAAAGGACUUAGUCGUGGAGCCAUCGCCUCUAGUUAGCUUAAAGGGGUUAAAUGUGACAAAGGACACAAGAAUUAUACUGGUUCGGCCCCUUGCGGUGAAGGUAAAAGCCUACUGUCCAGUUUCAGGUGGUAUUGCUUAUGUCUUGAUUACCAGGGAGCGAAUCUUCUUGACCUAGCUUUCGAUCUCUUGUUUCUUGUCCUGAACCGCCGCUUGGUCGUCCCUUUAAAUACACAGGUUGAAGGCCAGCGGCUCACGGAGUCCCGACCGGCUCAUAGACAACGUGUCCGGCUCGGUGACUACUUUUACAUGCCUUACAAAACAAGUCUUACAUAUAUGGCGGUUUAUACCUGCAGGCCUUGAGUCGCCCGUGGGCCUUGGGCCCUUGGCUGUUAACCGCUAUCUUUAAUGUCUUCAUGGUCUUCAUAUCAAGAGUCACCAUAGGUAUAACCCUGCCCCUCCUGGACGGGUCAUACCAAUAGUUAUAUCCCCAACACAUACCUUGACAAGAUUUUGAAAGAGUUCAAAAUAGAUCAGUCAAAGAAGGAGUGCUUGCCUAUAUUAUAAGGUGUAAAGUUGAGUAAGACUCAAAGCCCGACCACGGUAGAAUAUAGAAAGAGAAUGAAAGUCAUUCCCUAUGCCUCAGUCAUAGGUUCUAUAAAGUAUGCUAUGUUGUGUACCAGACCUAUUGUGUACCUUGCCAUGCUUUUGGCAAAGGGGUACAAUAGUGAUCUAGGAGUAAAUCAAUGGACAAUGGUCAAAAUUAUCCUUAGUAAGGACUAAGGAAAUGUUUCUCGGUUAUGGGGUGAUAAAGAGUUCGUCGUAAAUAGUUACGUCGAUGCAAGCUUUUACACCGAUCCAGAUGACUCUAAGUCUCAAUCUGGAUACAUAUUGAAAGUGGGAACAAUUAGCUAGAGUAGCUCCAUGCAAAGCAUUGUAGACAUAGAAUAUUUGCAAAAUGCAUACGGCUCUGAAUUUGACAGACCCGUUGACUAAACUUCUCUCACGAGCAAAACAUGAUCACACCUUAGUACUCUUUGGGUGUUAAUCACAUAACGAUGUGAACUAGAUUAUUGACUCUAGUAAACCCUUUGGGUGUUGGUCACAUGGCGAUGUGAACUAUGGGUGUUAAUCACAUAUAGAUGUGAACUAUUGGUGUUAAAUCACAUGGUGAUGUGAACUAGAUUAUUGACUCUAGUGCAAGUGGGAGACUGAAGGAAAUAUGCCCUAGAGGCAAUAAUAAAGUUGUUAUUUAUAUUUAUUUAUAUCAUGAUAAAUGUUUAUUAUUCAUGCUAGAAUUGUAUUAACAGGAAACUUAGUACAUAUGUGAAUACAUAGACAAAACAAAGUGUCCCUAGUAUGCCUCUACUUGACUAGCUCGUUAAUCAAAGAUGGUUAUGUUUCCUGACCAUAGACAUGUGUUGUCAUUUGAUGAACGGGAUCACAUCAUUAGGGGAAUGAUGUGAUGGACAAGACCCAUCCGUUAGCUUAGCAUUAUGAUCAUUACUGUUUCAUUGAUACUGCUUUCUUCAUGACUUAUACACAUUCCUCAAACUGUGAGAUUAUGCAACUCCCGAAUACCGGAGGAACACCUUGUGUGCUAUCAAACGUCACAACGUAACUGGGUGAUUAUAAAGGUGCUCUACAGGUGUCUUUGUAGGUGUUUGUUGGGUUGGCAUAGACCAAGAUUAGGAUUUGUCACUCCGUGUUUCGGAGAGGUAUCUCUGGGCCCUCUCGGUAAUGCUCAUCACUAUAAGCCUUGCAAGCAUUAUAACUAAUGAGUUAGUUGCUGGAUGAAGUAUUACGGAACGAGUAAAGAGACUUGCCAGUAACGAGAUUGAACUAGGUAUGAUGAUACCGAUGAUUGAAUCUCGGGCAAGUAACAUACCGGUGACAAAGGGAACAACGUAUGUUGUUAUGCGGUUUGACCGAUAAAGAUCUUCGUAGAAUAUGUAGGAGCCAAUAUGAGCAUCCAGGAUCCGCUAUUGGUUAUUGACCGGAGAUAUGUCUCGGUCAUGUCUACAUAGUUCUCAAACCCGUAGGGUCCGCACGCUUAACGUUUGAUAAUGAUAUGUAUUAUGAGUUAUGUGAUUUUGAUGACCCAAGUUUGUUAGGAGUCCCGGAUGAGAACAUGGAUGUGAUGAGGAGUCUCGAAAUGGUUGAGACAUAAAGAUCAAUAUAUUGGAAGGCUAUAUUCGAACAUCGGAAAGGUUCCGAGUGAUUCGGGUAUUUUUCGGAGUACCGGAGAGUUACGAGAAUUCGCCAUGGGAAUUAGUGGGCCUUAAUGGGCCAUAUGGGAAAGGAGAGAAGGGCCUCAAGGGGUGGCCACGCGCUCCCCCAUGGGUUGGUCCGAAUUGGACUAGGAGGGGGCGGCGCCCCCUCCUUACUUCUCCCCUCUUCCUCCUUCCCUUCCUUCUCCUAGUUGGAAUAGGAAGGGGGGGGGGGCGAAUCCUACUUGGACCGGGAGUCCAAGUAGGACUGGCGCGCCCCCUCUAGGGCCGUCCUCCUCUUCCUCCCUCCUAUAUAUACGUGGGCAGGGGGCACCCCAAAGUCACUCCAAGAUUGGUAUUAGCCGUGUGUGGUGCGCCUCCCUCCACAGUUACACACCUCGAUCACACCGUUGCGGAGCUUAGGCGAAGCCCUGUGCCAGUAGUAUCAUCAUCACCGUCACCAUGCCUUCGUGCUGAUGGAACUCACCCUUGGCCUCAACUGGAUCAAGAGUACACGGGACGUCAUCGAGCUGAACGUGUGCUGAACACGGAGGUGUCGUACGUUCAGUGCUUGAUCGGUUGGAUCGCGAAGAAGUUCGACUACAUCAACCGCGUUACUAAACGCUUCCGCUUUCGGUUUAUGAGGGUACUGUCGGUGUCAAAACUGGCGGAUCUCGGGUAGGGGGUCCCGAACUGUGCGUCUAAGGCUAAUGGUAGCAGGAGACUGGGGACAUGAUGUUUACCCAGGUUCGGGCCCUCUCGAUGGAGGUAAUACCUUACUUCCUGCUUGAUUGAUCUUGAUGAUAUGAGUAUUACAAGAGUUGAUCUACCACGAGAUUGUAGAGGCUAAACCCUAGGAGCUAGCCUAUGAUUAUGAUUGUCUUGUCCUACAGACUAAACCCUCCCGUUUAUAUAGACACCGGAGGGGGCUAGGGUUACACAAAGUCAGUUUACAAAGGAGGUCUAGCAUCCGGAUCGCCAAGCUUGCCUUCCACGCAAAGGAGAGUCCCAUCCGGACAUGGGACAAAGUCUUCAAUCUUGUAUCUUCAUAGUCCAACAGUCCGGCCAAAGCAUAUAGUCCGGCUGUCCGGAUACCCCCUUAUCCAGGACUCCCUCAGUAGCCCCUGAACCAGGCUUCAAUGACGAUGAGUCCGGCGCGCAGAUUGUCUUCGGCAUUGCAAGGCGGGUUCUAUCUCCGAAUACCUCAAUAUAAAUUCCGAACAUAAGGACCAUGUCCAGCUCUGCAAAACAAGUUCCACAUACCUCCGUAGAGAGAAUAAUAAUCCACGAAUCUAAUCUGCUGAUAACUCUUCGAAACAUGUCAUCAUGCCACGGUCCAAUUUUUAUUCGAACAGUUUUUUAUAACCAGCUACCGCACAUAUUACGAGGCGGUUCCUUUGGCAUGUCUUGUCGAAGCAGAGAUCGUGUCCCUCUUAUCGUGGGAUCCUCAUCAUUAUAGAUAUGGGUAAUCCAACCAUGCCUGUUGGCAUGACUCCAUGUUUUUAGGCAAGUCCCGAACGGUUACGCUGGGGACGCUUGAUAUUCUCCCCCCUUUAUAGAGGGGUCGAGGCCUAUCCCUCUAUCUCCACACUCGCGCCUUCCCGCACUUUGAGUCCCAACACCCAAAGCUCAAGCUUAAGCACUCCGGAUCUUCGAUCAUGUCCGGAUCCAACCUUCAAGGCCGGUGGAUGGCCUCCUCUGUCACAGAGGAGGACAUUGCGAAGCUUAGGGAGGCCGGGUAUCUGACCGCUGAUGUCAAGCACAGGCUUCCCGUCGCAGGGCAGGUCAUCCCCACUCCCGAACCCAAUGAGAGUGUUGUAUUUGUCUCUCACUUCCUCCGAGGCUUGGGAUUUACUCUUGAUCCCUUCGUGAGGGGGAUCAGGUUCUAUUACGGGCUAGAUUUUCACGAUCUAGCUCCGGAUUCCAUCCUCCACAUCUCGUCGUUUAUCGGCGUGUGUGAAGCCUUCCUCCAUAUCACCCCCCACUUUGGCCUAUGGCUCAAGACCUUCAACGUGAAGGCGAAGGAGAUUGAGGGGCGACGCAUGGAGUGCGGGGGCGCUGCAAUAAGCAGAAACACCGAUGUUCCAUGGCCAGAAGGUUCUUUCCUGGAGGUGUCCGAUCUGUGGCAACGAACGUGGUUUUACAUCACAGCUCCCUGAGGCACAAGGUGGGCGGCCGCCCUCGCCUUCCGCUCGGGCCCUCCGCCUCAACUAGCAUCAUGGGCCAACAUGGGACCGGACUGGGGGCCUGCUAACGAUGUACCGAUGUUGCAGAGCCGUAUUCGGGAGCUUCUUGAGAGAGACGUCAGUCUUGUCAAAAUAAUCCAGGUAAUGCUAGUUCGGCGGAUCCUGCCGUGCAAACGAUAUCCUCUCCGGAUGUGGGAGUUCAAUCCGGAGGGUCCGCGAACCAUUCUGCACUUCUUCGGUAUGACGCCCGAAGAGAUGUAUAAGUUGUUCUUCGGGCCACGAGUAAAGUGUCCGGACACCACCGAGGAUGCGGGCCUGAGCUGCAACCGCCCAGAUACCCAAGUAAGCAACCCUAUAACCGAACACUUUGUUUGUAUUUAUCAUAACAUUAGUCUGAAAAACUGUCCGCGGCCAGGAUUGGCUCAGCAAGGCAGAGAGAAUCAGGUGUCCGGCCCCACUUCCCGAAGGCCCGCCCGGUCCGGCAAUAGCCAGGAUGCUUGAGCGGGCAUUAAGUCAAGGGCCAUUGGGGAAAGACGAAGGGAAGAGUGAGCUUCACACAUUGUUCAUCCAAACCUGGGGAAUUAAUGUCUCCACGAAGGAGGAUAAUUGGGGAGGUGAAUCCAAGAAUUCCUCCCCCCGCGGGAAGAAAAGGGCUGCCUCCGAAGACUUGGAGACGGAGGCGCCUAAGCAAGGGAAGAAGACUUCACCAGAGAGCCCAGCCCCGAAGGGAGUCCUUGCUGCAUCAUGCCCGAGAACGGGCCAGCCCUCCACCAAGCUGUGAGUUGAUAAACCAGAAACUUAUCGCUUUCUCCUCUGAGAGUAAUAACCAGGACCUGUUUUUUGUUGUCCGGCCAGCAGUUCAUCUCAAUAGAGUUCGUCCUCGGGGGAUCUUCUUUCGGAGAUGAUGGAGAGUGAAACCCCACUAGCCUCUCCGCUCCAUGGGGCAGGUGACCCUGAGGUGUCAUCACGGAGGAGUCUAGAUCCACUGAGGCCAGAAGCUAACACUUCGGCCGUCCCGAGCCCAGCAUGUUCGGCUCCUUGGGAGGGCAAUGAGAAGGGUCCGGGAGAGUCCGGUGCCCGGCCGAACAUACUGACGGGCCUCCUGGAGCAAGCUGCUCUCUCGGAGGAUCACUGUACACUAAUGGGUAAGUUGUUGGAGAAAAUUUCCUCCGCUACAAGCGGUUUAAAUGAAGCUUUUAAAAGCUUGCUUAGAGGCUUUGAGGUAAGCAACGAAAUACAUAAUUUUUGGUUGCACCACACGCGAUAGAUGUGCUCUGUAUAGAUAGUAGCCCCUGAGACUGUGGUUGCCAGCCUACAGCGGCAAACGGAGGAUCACACUCCCAGGUAAUCAUCGCACUUGUUUUGAUGUGCAGGUUGCUAAGGGUCUGGCGAUAGACCAGACCGCUAAAUUCGCCGAAUUGAGGCGACAGAUUGAUGUGGUGGAUGCCAACAUCACACUUGUGAACAAGCGAUUCGAUGAGUCGCAGAGUAUGCGCUCGUGUUUCCUUAUUUGUUGAGGAAAUUGCAAGAAUGUUGUAAUAUUAAUAUGAUGUGAUGUGGCUGUAGGCGGAGCUUCUGCCAUGGAGGCCAUGAGGGCGGAACUUGCUUUAGCCAAGGAACAAGCCCGGGUUUGCAAUGCGGCUGCCCUAAAGGCAGCCGAAGACUUGAGAGACGAACAGGCUGCUCAUCUCCGAAGCGAAGAAAAGAUAGCCGAGAUGGCUGUGGAGCUGAGGGACGCCGCCGGCCGGUAUGAGCUUCUCGAGAAGGAGAAUCAGGCAAAGGCGGCUAACCUGAAGAAGGCGCUGGAUUCCGCUAAGGAGAUGCACUCUAAUAUUAGAGACGCGCGGGAGGAACUUCGACAAGCCGGAGAAAUCGCGUUUGGAAACCCCUAUUUGUUGCGGAUGAAGUUCUUAGAUCCAAAGUAUGCUCCUUUGGAUCAACUUUGGAGCACUGCAGAUGAAUAUGCGGACUUGGCGAAGAGUACGGCUGAUGCGACCAAGUUAUUUAAGGAUCAUAAAGAUAAUGAAAUAGAAAGGCUAUUCUGGUUGCAAUUUAGCGCUCCAACGCGCUCAUUGCCAUUAAGUGAGAAGAUGGCCGCUAUAGCCGAGCUCCAUAGGUUGUCCGGUCUUGCAAUGAGGUCAGUAAUAGACCAUCUAUGGCCGAAAGGACCAAGGCCGGACAGCUACUUUGGUUUAGUGCAGCAACUAUUUGGUUCCAGAUCGUGAAUCGAUGCCGUGAAGAGGUCGGCAUGCAUAGAGGGUGCGUGGAUGGCUCUUGCCCGUGUGAAGAAAUAUUGGGCAGAUAUGGAGGCCACCAACAUUGUAACCUAGGGUCCGGCAGGAAGCCAAGACCCAGUCGAGCACUAUUUUGAGCAGGUCGUAGAAGGUGCCCGUAGAAUAGAGGCUCAGUGCUCGAAGAAUGUCAUGUUCGAGUGACAAGUCUAUUCAUUGAAAACAAUUAUGUGUUAAUUAUAGAGGUUGUUUUUAUACUUUUGCCUCAAAGUAUUAUAAUGUCUCCUGUGUGGCCGGUUAUGUAUGCAUAUAACAUGAAAGUUAGCAGUCGUUGGCUUUAGCCCCCACGCACAUAAUGCGGGGGUGUUCGAAAAAUAAUAUGCGUAAACACACUUGAUCCAACGUCUUGGUCCGUUAAGGAGGUGAUCGCACGUCGAACCAGGCAACCGGACUAUAUAGCUGUAACACUUUCACUUAGCCAUAGGAGUUGAAAGGUGGGGCUACUAUGUAGCCCCUGGUACUUCCGCGUGUGUCCGGAUACGGUGCACGUACGUACUUGACCAGGAAACCGGUCCUUCAUUGAUGCGGAGGAAUCCUAUACAUUCCGAUGAGUCCUCGAGUGGUUGACCAGUCUCUCGUUGUAUCACGAUAGUCAGUUUUCAGCUUUCUCUACUGAGGCGCUCAUCCGGAAUAACCAGGGCACAAUCGCAGUAGUUCUCCCUUGGCCACCUUAGCCGAUAGAACGGAACAUAAGGCGGCAAACCCAGGAGCCGGGCUAACCCAACAUUUGACCAAAGACAUGAUUCGGAGCUAAUGCAUAUAAGGCCAAACUCGUGACGCCGAACACUCCCGAAGGUAUUCGGACUUUAUAAGAUAUACUGGGCUAAGUAACGCCCUUGACCCUGUAUUUCCAGGUACGUGCAUUGAUUUGUCGUGGCGAAUAGCCUAUAACGCCAAUGUCCCUUGUGGGUGUAUGGAAUACCCAUGGGAUGUCAAGCAACAAAAGACAGUAAAGAAGGUUUACACAGGGGCUUAAUCUAAAGAGAAACCUUUGAGCGGGGCCCUGCUGCACGUCUGCGCCUUUGUCCUCGUUGUGCCGUAUCCUGGAAGGGUGUCGCACGAGUAGUGUCUGUAAAAACUAAAACUCAUAUAGAGGAGUAAGCGUGCGGGAAGUUGGUUAUUCUCAAUAGAUACUAGAAAUAUGAGAGAUUGGCCUAUUAUAAGGUAAGCUGAAUUGUGGGCUGUAUUAUGUGUUGACAACCCCUAGUACCAUUUAUGGGGAUAUAUGUGCAGCACCCAGCCAGGGUUUAUCCGGGCUGUUGUUGAUGGUGGUGCGCCAGACUCGUCUAGCCGUGUCCGUGGUCUUAACGACCGAUCAUGCGUUCUGGUGGGAGGGGCCGCUUAGUGUCCGGCCGCGGGAGCUGCCGCAUAUUGCUCUGUGUUUCCACUAACCGUUAUGAUGCCAUAUGGACCGGGCAUCUUAAGUUUGAGGCAGGCAUAGUUCGGUAUUGCAUUAAAGCAAGUGAAGGCCAUUCUUCCGAGUAAUGCAUGAUAAUUGCUGCUGAAGGGGGCAAUGUCGAAGAGUAAUUCCUCGCUUUUGAAGUUGUCGGGAGAACAGAAUGUCACUUCUAAUACGAGAGAGCCCCGGUAGCGGGCCUCGAUGCCUGGUAUCACGCCGUUAAAGGUGGUGUCACUCUGUCUUAUUCUGGAUGGGUCUAUCCCCAUCUCGUGGAUAGUGUCCUGAUAUAUCAGAUUAAUACUACUGCCGCCGUCCAUUAGGACUUGAGUGAGAUGGUAUCCAUCAAUUAUUGGGUCGAGCACCAAGGCAGCCGAUUCUCCGUGCCGGAUACUGGCCGGGUGGUCCAUGUGAUCAAAAGUGAUCGGGCAGGCCUCCGAGGGGUUGGACUUGGGGGCAACGAACUCCGUGUGGGUUGCGUGGACCAUGUUUACUGUUUUAACUUCUGGUGGGAAUUUUUUCUGUCCCCCAGUGUUCGGCUGGCGAGGCUCAUCCUCGUCUUUGCUUGGUGUUUCCCUUCCCUUGUAUUCGGCGUUUAACUUGCCGGCCUGCUUGAAGACCCAACAUUCUCUAUGAGUAUGAUUUGCAUGUUUUUCCGGGGUGACAUGGAUUUGGCACAGUCUAUCCAGGACUUUAUUUAGGCCGGACGAUCCUUCUUUGCUGCCUUUAAAUGGCUUCUUUCUCUGACCGGGUCGCGAGCCCCUGAAUCCGGCGUUGAACGCCGUGUUGUCCGGACUAUCUUCAUUGCUUCAACGCUUAUUCUUGUUGCGUUGUGGCUUCCCGUUGCCAUCUCGAAUUUCGGAUGUGCCUGGGUCGCUGGUGCCUCUACGGGCCAACCAGUUGUCCUCGCCCACACAAAAGCGGGUCAUAAGGCUUGUUAAGGCCGCCAUCGUCCUUGGCUUUUCUUGGCCGAGGUGUCUGGCAAGCCACUUGUCCCGGAUACUAUGUUUGAAGGCCGCUAGGGCUUCAGCAUCGGGACAGUCGAUGAUUUGAUUCUUCUUAGUGAGAAAUCUGUUCCAAAGCUUAUGGGCUGACUCUCCGGGCUGUUGUAUUAUGUGACUUAAAUCGUCUGUAUCCGGAGGUCGGACAUAGGUCCCUUGAAAAUUGGCCCUGAAAGCGUCCUCAAGUUCCUCCCAACUUCCAAUUGAAUUUUCGAGGAGGCUUUUCAACCAGUGCCGAGCUGGCCCUUUCAACUUGAGGGGGAGGUAUUUGAUGGCAUGGAGAUCGUCCCCUCGAGCCAUGUGUAUGUGAAGGAUAAAAUCCUCAAUCCAGACCCCAGGGUCUGUCGUUCCGUCGUAUGCCUCUGUUCACGGGUUUGAAUCCCUAUGGAAAUUCAUGAUCCAGCACCUCAUUGGUGAAACACAGGGGGUGUGCAGCCCCUCUGUACCUGGAUAUGUUAGGGCGUGCUGUCGACGGUUGUUGUGUCCGGGUUUGAUUCCGGACUGGUAUUUGAUCAGUAUGAUCGUUUUGGUGACCAUAGUCUUGUACGUGAGCGCGCCCUCUAGAUCCAUAGACGGACCUGGCCGCACCAGCCUUUUUGUCCAAGAGCUCACGUAAAUCAUGGGCUGACUUGUGUGCGGCACCGGUGGCUGCUCUAUCACGGCCAUGAGGUGGUCGGUCCGGUUGAUCGGCUGUGGUGUUCUUUAGCGAAACGGGCUCUAAGGCUUCAUUGUCGAAUUCUGGCAGUAGUUUGCGCUUUGGGUAGCUCUUUGUUUGGCGAUCGUCGCCGUAUUUUUCUUCAGUAUCUAGCACCUUCUUCCAUCUUCGGUUCUUCUUUAAGCUCCUCGCCGUGGCAAUAAGCCUUUUGCGGAGGUUAUCUUGUUCCAAACGUUUUUCCGGGAUGAUGAAUGCACCGUCGACCGGACUGUCCUCCUCUUUGGAGGCAGUGUGAUGAGUUCGGCCCUCGGGAUCGCUGUGGUCAGGCGCCUGCUCCGGGCUGUGUUCGGCGUGACCUGGCUUAUCCUGCUCCAUCACUGGGUCCCCAUGGUCGUUGUUGCCUUCGUAGUCGACCGGAGUGUUAUCCUUUUUUGCGUUGUUAUCGCUAUUUUGACUGUGACUAGACUUAGAGCGGCGCCUGCACCGUCGUUUUGCUUUUGUCCGGGGGGUUUAUCCUCCGUUGUGUCCUUUUUGUCACUGUUGUCCUCCUUGGGCGUGUCCACCAUGUAGAUGUCAUAUGAUAAAGUGGCGGUCCAGCGCCCCGUGGGCGGUGGUUCCAUAUUGCCCCCUGUAUCGACGCCCAUACCGUCGAUGUCGUCGAAGUCGAAAUCAAGCAUGUCUGUUAGGUCAUCGACAGUGGCUAUGAAGUGGGUGGGUGGGUGGGAAGCGAAUCUCUUCUUCGUCCGUACCCCACUCGGGCCGGACAUAGUUCGGCCAAGAGUCUUCUGACAAAGAGAGAGACCUUAAUGAAUUUAGCACAUCGCCAAAAGGGGAGUGUUGCAUGAUAUCCGCGAUGGUGAACUCCAUUACUGGGGCCCAAUUGGACUCGAUAGGCCCGGGUGCACGUGAUCCCGAACCUACGACCAGAGACAAGUCCGGGGGUCCGGAGAUACAGAUUUCCUUAGGAGCGGAGUCUGUGUUCGGCUCCAAUACCGAUGAGUGUGCGGCCUCCGGGGCGGGGUCCAUCCACCCAUCCUCGGAAGGCACGAUCUGCUCUAGAUCGGAGUCUGGAGCCGUAGUAGGCGCGAUAUUCCGAAUACUGUCCGACAUUAGAUCUAGGUCGUGCCCGUCGUGAUCGUUCGGCGCUCUUGACAUGGGCCCGAAUCCGUCGAAGAUCAAGUCUCCAUGGAUGUCGGCGGUGUAGUUUAGGUUUCCAAACCUGACCUGAUGGCCAAGGGCGUAGCUGUCGAUCUGCUCUAGACGACCAAGCGAGUUGGCCCGCAGUGCAAAGCUGCCGAACACGAAGAUCUGUCCAGGGAGAAAAGUCUCACCCAGGACGGCGUCGUUGAAGGUUGGGGGAGCCAUCGAGCCUUACAGCGACGACAUAGAGGAACUCUCAAUGAAGGCACCAAUGUCGGUGUCAAAACCGGCAGAUCUCGGGUAGGGGGUCCCGAACUGUGCGUCUAAGGCUAAUGGUAACAGGAGACUGGGGACACGAUGUUUACCCAGGUUCGGGCCCUCUCGAUGGAGGUAAUACCCUACUUCCUGCUUGAUUGAUCUUGAUGGUAUGAGUAUUACAAGAGUUGAUCUACCACGAGAUCAUAGAGGCUAAACCCUAGGAGCUAGCCUAUGAUUAUGAUUGUCUUGUCCUACAGACUAAACCCUCCAGUUUAUAUAGACACCGGAGGAGGCUAGGGUUACAUAGAGUCCGUUUACAGAGAAGGAGAUCUACCAUCCGGAUCGCCAAGCUUGCCUUCCACGCAGAGGAGAGUCCCAUCCGGACACAUGACGAGGUCUUCAAUCUUGUAUCUUCAUAGUCCAACAGUCCGGCCAAAGCAUAUAGUCCGGCUGUCCGGAUACCCCCUUAUCCAGGACUCCCUCAGGUACGUGGACAUACUCUCCCCUCUUGUUGCUAUGCAUCUCCUAGAUAGAUCUUGCGUGAUCGUAGGAUUUUUUAUGAAAUUACUGCGUUCCCCAACAAGAUCAUCUUGUAUGCAGUUCUUACCGAGAAGCGACCCCUCGGGUCCUCCGACCACGCCCAGAAGUCAUCUACAUGCCUUGUACAUAGUGCAAUUCUCAAAAUAGCCUCGGCAUCAACAGGAACAAAAACUUGUCUGAUCAAGUCUUCUCUCCAAGAUGUUGAAGACGUGUCGAUUAACUCUGCCACUAAUUGUGGAGGAUCCUAAACCAACGAAGAGAUCGGCCUCAUCAAGCCCGCCCUAGGGAUACAGUUAUGUUGCCAAAUGUGAGUCGGUGUCCCAUCUCCAAUCCUCAUGAUCGCACCAUGCUGCAUUACGUUUCUGCCAUCCACUACUACCCGCCAAAUCUGAGAGGGAUUUGAUCCCAAAUCCGCUUCGAGGAUAGAACUGUCUUGAUAAUAAGCUGCCUUGAGAAUACGUGAACUCAGCGAGUUAGGUUCAUUCAGACACUUCCAGGCUUGCCUUGAUAGAAGAGAUAGAUUAAAGACUUCUAGAUCCUUGAAACCCAAGCCUGCCAAGUUCUUUGGUUUUGUCAGCACAUCCCAAGAUACCCAAGCAUGCUUCCUCUUUCCCUGUUUAGAUCCCCACCAAAAAUGUCUUAUAAGUGUAGACACACUUUCACAAAGUCCCCUAGGAAGUCUGAAGCAUGACAUUGAGAAAACGGGUAUGGCCUGUGCCACUGAUUUUAUCAACACCUCCUUCCCCGCUGCUGAGAGUAGUUUCUGCAUCCAUCCCCUCACUUUCUCCCACACCCCAUCUCUCAAAUAACAAAAAGUGUCAUUCUUUGAGUGACCCACCUCUGUCGGCAUGCCCAAGUAUUUUUCGCUCAAAGAUUCGUUCUGCACAUGAAGGAUAUUUUUCACCUGAUGCUUUAGAGCCUCUGGACAUCCUUUACUAAAGAAGAUUGAUGACUUGUCAUUGUUAAUUCUUUUACCAGAUGCAUCACAAUAAUUACGAAGCAGGUUUGAAACCGCAUUUGCUCCCUCCACACUAGACUUAAAAAGCAGCAGGCUGUCAUCCGUAAACAAAAGAUGGUUCACCACAGGAUCUGUGGGUGUCACCUUCACGCCUGCAAGUAUCGAUGACUAAGAACUGGAUUUUAAAAGGCACGAAAGGCCCUCUGCUGCCAAUAAGAAUAAGUAAGGAGAAAUGGGAUCUCCCUGCCGAAUACCUCUAGAUGGUUUGAACUGUUCAAGUUUUUCACCAUUAAAAAUAACCGAGAAAGACACUGAUUUGACAAUACCCAUAACAAUUUCCGUCCAAGCUGGUGAGAAACCCAACUUGAGCAUGAUCGCCUACAAAUAUGCCCACUCGACCCUGUCGUAAGCUUUCAUCAUGUCAAGCUUUAGAGCACACAAACUAUUCCUCUUGGACCUGUUCCUCUUCAUAAAAUGCAAGCAUUCGUAUGCACAGAUAAUGUUGUCCGUGAUCAUUCUACCAGGCACAAAUGUUGAUUGUUCCUCAGAUAUAAUAUCAGGCAAUAUGAUCUUCAGUCUGUUCGGUACUACCUUUGACAGAAUUUUAUAUAAGACGUUGCAAAGACCGAUUGGCCUGAACUGAGAUAGAAGGGUCGGGCUCAUUAACUUUGGUAUUAAAACUAACACCGUGUCAUUAACCCCCUCAAGGCUCUCCUCCCCUCUAAUUAUCCUCAGUACCACCGAGGUAACCUCUUCUCCGCAUAUGUCCCAGUGACGCUGGUAGAAGUGAGCAGGAAAGCCAUCGGGACCUGGCGCCUUUGUUGGGAACAUUUGAAACAACGAUGUCUUGACUUCCUCGCUAGUGUACGGUGCACAUAAAGUAUCGUUCAUCGCCGGUGUGACCUUUCAGGGUACAUGCCUCAAGACUUCCUCCAUCCCAUGUACCCCCUCGGAUGUGUACAAAGAUUGAUAAAAAUCUUGAACCAACGAUUUUAACUCAGAUGGGUCAUCUUUUACCACUCCCAAAGAGUUUGACAAAGCACGUAUCAUGUUCCUUUUCCGCCUCAUACUAGCCCGCAUAUGGAAGAAUUUAGUAUUUAUAUCUCCAGCUGACAUCCACUCAAGGCGAGAUCUCUGUCGCCACAUCAAUUCUUCUCUAUGGAGUAGCUCUACUAGUCUCUCAUUCAGCUUUAUCUCUGCAUGCACUGGCCCCAUUCUAGCUGGAUCAUUCCACAGCUGUUCAAGCUUUGCUCUGAUUUGUUUCAUCUCCUUCUGCACACUUCCAAACCUAUCAAUACCCCAUGCUGAUAUGUCCUUACUUAUUCUGAGCAGCUUAUCUCUGAAGUCGCCGACUCCAUACCCAGGCGCCAAAGCACCCCGGCAAUCUAUUAUCUUGUCCCUCCAUGCUUCAUGUGACUCCCACAUAGUUUCAUAUCUAAAAACCUUCCUCGACAUUGUAUCAUGUUGUGUGCUAUCAAAUUUCAACAAGAUCGGUCUGUGGUCAGAGGUUGCACCCACUAAAUGAGAAAGCGUGUGGAUAUCUUGUAAUCCAGCUAGCCGAGGCCAAAGCCCGAUCCAGCCGAACUCUAGCAUACCUCCCCCUGUAAUCUUCUUCUCAAAUGUCCAUGGUCGCCCUGGUACCCCAGGUCCAUAAGCAUGCACACGUCAACUGCUUCUCGAAAGGCUUGGAUCUAUGCAUUACUUAUGUCCGCUAUCCCAUGAUGCUCCUCCUGAUGCAAGACUUCGUUGAAAUCACCAAAACAAAGCCAGGGUAAAUCACUUAUUGUGUCGAUCCCCUUUAGAACGUCCCAAGUUUGGUGUCUGAGAUGGGUUUGGGCCUCCCCGUAUACACAAGUGAUGCGCCAAGGGUCCUGUCCUUCCUCUGUGAUUUUUGCAUCAAUGUGAUAAACAGAAUCUCCCAAGAUCUCAACAUUGCAUGUAUUAUUCCAAAACAUACCAAUACCUCCACUUCUACCUUGACUACUAAUAGCAUAUGAAUUAUCAAAACCUAAAGUUCCUGCUAGAGCUUCUACUCGUGCACCACUUAUUUGUGUCUAAACUAUACAUAGAACACUAGGGGUAAACUUCAUCGCGAAUUCGCGAAUUUCUCGAACUGUCGCAGGUUUACCCGCUCCACGACAGUUCCAGCAAAAAGCACUCAUUGGGCCCGGCGGCGCUCCUUAAAGGAGCCCGCCAAAUUCUUCACUGCUGAGAUUUGUCCCUCUGUAUCUUCAUCUGUCUUCUUAGUCCUCUUCGAAUCUCGCUGGGGGGGGGGACUCAUCACAUUAGCUCCCACCAACAUAAUUGCUAAAGGAUUUACCUUGUCCACUGCAGGUGCAUAAUUGGGUUGGGGGAGAAUAUGAUGUUUGGCCCGAGCUCUGCUCCCGCAUUCCUCUUCCUGCUCAACUCCUCCAUAUCCAUAUCGCUAGCCGCCCCGGCAGGAUCCACAGGGGUUUGUGUUACUUUCGGUGCAUGGCUCUCUGUCAUGUCUCCUCUUCCCCUCUGAGUGCCCACUCGAGCGCCCUCCUGAUCAGCCUCCCCUGCGACCACCUCGUUGGCUGCGUCCUUCUCUAGGGCCUCUGCCUGAGCGGAUAAACCAAUUUGCACGUAGAUCCUUGAACACCAAGGCAGACGGAGGGUGAAUACCAUUGCCGUGUUCCUUAAAUUGAUGCCCAAGCAUGCCGCAAACCACACACCAGUCAGGGAGCUUUUCAUACUUGACUCUAUAAAUCUGUCUCUUCCAUCUCUAAUCAUAGACACCGCGUUCUUGAGUGGCUUGAAUACAUUAAUUCUGACCCAAACUCAAUGAAAGUUACCAAUAAAGUCGUGUGAAUUAGGUUAAGGGAAGAGAACUUCCCCCACCUUAGCAGCAAGUGGAGCCACCAGAUGCGCAUACAACUCUGGUAUAUCAUGGAUUUGAAUCCAUAUAUCAAUUGUCUCAAGCUUAACAGUGGAAGGCUUCGUGAUCCCAUCAUAUGGCAGCAGAAUCACCGCAUCUCCUCUGAAAUUCCAUGGACCAUCAUUCAUGACUCUCUCCCAAUCUGCUAGACAUGAGAAUUGAAUAGUGUAUAGAUUAUCUUCCAAAGGUUUGAACCUUGCCUCUUGCGCUAUGUCCCAGGCCGCACACAUGUUCCUGUAGAACCAUGUUUGGCUGUAGGUUUUUGUUGUGUUAACCCUAGCCAGAGCUAUCCAUCGCGGUCCCUCCGGCGGUGCGGCUUGUUCAUCAAAAUCCACAUCAUCCAGGUCCUCCUCUCUCAGUCCCAGCUCCUUCAUCAUCUGCUCGACAUCACUAAUUCCCGAGGAACUCGAUGCCCCGUCGGAAGCCAUUAGAACUCUGGCCCGAAGAAAAGAUCGAUCGAGUUGCUUGGNNNNNNNNNNNNNNNNNNNNNNNNNNNNNNNNNNNNNNNNNNNNNNNNNNNNNNNNNNNNNNNNNNNNNNNNNNNNNNNNNNNNNNNNNNNNNNNNNNNNNNNNNNNNNNNNNNNNNNNNNNNNNNNNNNNNNNNNNNNNNNNNNNNNNNNNNNNNNNNNNNNNNNNNNNNNNNNNNNNNNNNNNNNNNNNNNNNNNNNNNNNNNNNNNNNNNNNNNNNNNNNNNNNNNNNNNNNNNNNNNNNNNNNNNNNNNNNNNNNNNNNNNNNNNNNNNNNNNNNNNNNNNNNNNNNNNNNNNNNNNNNNNNNNNNNNNNNNNNNNNNNNNNNNNNNNNNNNNNNNNNNNNNNNNNNNNNNNNNNNNNNNNNNNNNNNNNNNNNNNNNNNNNNNNNNNNNNNNNNNNNNNNNNNNNNNNNNNNNNNNNNNNNNNNNNNNNNNNNNNNNNNNNNNNNNNNNNNNNNNNNNNNNNNNNNNNNNNNNNNNNNNNNNNNNNNNNNNNNNNNNNNNNNNNNNNNNNNNNNNNNNNNNNNNNNNNNNNNNNNNNNNNNNNNNACGGUAGGGAAGCAAAAAAAAGACUCGACGGUGGCUAGAUCGCCCCGGGAGAACUAGAGAAACCCUAACUAGAGGGAAUGGCUCAGUAUUUUCUUCUGCAGUGAGAAUUCCUGCCAUCAUCCCAUUGCAUAGCAAGGUUGCUGGCUCCAGAAAAAUUGAAAAAAAGAAUCGUGUUAUUUGAUGGGCCCAGACUUCUUUCCAUGAGUGUAUGGAUCAAAUGCAAGGUCCAGUAAGCAAGCUCAGCUGGGAAGUGUGGCCCACAGAACAGUCGUGAGAGCUGAGAGGUCAGGCGAGCUCUCACCACUCACUUCCGUCUCCGGCCAUGGCGACCAUCUCCGCAGCUCUCUCCAUCUCCCUCCUCCCGCCCGCGGCCCGCCGCGCCGUCUCCACCGCCACCUCCUCCCCGCCGCGCGUCAAGGUAAGACCCACACCGUCUGCACUUCUGAGCGCCGUCGCCGCGUCCUCUGAUUCCGUGGUCCUCGCAGAGAGCCGCGCGGUUCAGGUGCUGCGCAGAACCUCCUUCCCCGGAACAGCAGGAGACCUCCGCGCCUUCGCCCCCUCCUCCGGCGCCGCCUUCGUCCCUGUGGGGCGUCUCCACAAGCGCCUGGACGGCGGGCGUCGCGGGGCUGGGGCUCCUGGAGACCGGCUACCUCAGCUACCUCAAGCUCACGGGCUCCGAGGCCUUCUGCCCCGUCGCCGGGGGAGGCUGCGGCGACGUGCUCGACAGCGACUACUCCGUCGUCUUCGGUAAUUUCCUCCCCCACUGCUCAUGGGAUUGAUAGUUCUGAAAAUUGUACUGCUUUCAUUAUGCUUGCAUUGUCAGUACUCAUUAUGUAGGUAGGAUUGUGUAUUGGUAACUUAGCCACAUUCGAGAUCCGGUGCCCAUUCUUUUUCAACUGUUGCCCAUGGUUGCAGGUUCAGAAUUUAUACAACUAUGUAUGAAUGUCCCUUUUAUCAUUCUGCCGUGUGCCGUGUUGUGUGUGCUGAGAUAAACUUUCACAUAAUACAGUACUAUGGAUGCUCAUCAGUAACAUUGGUCUCGCUUUAUUUCUGUAGGGAUCCCUCUUCCAUUAGUUGGUAUGGUGACAUAUGGUGUGGUGACUGCACUUUCUCUACAAGAAAACGGAGAGGAGUUACUCCCUGGACUCGAUGACUUGGAUAUCCGCCUAACCUUGCUUCUGCUUGCUACUUCACUGGCGACUGCGAGUGCUUAUUUUCUCUUCAUCCUGAAUACCAAAUUUGUCGGGACUUCUUGCUUAUACUGCCUGUCGUCAGCAUUUAUCUCCUUCACAUUAUUUUUCAUCAGACUGAAGGUGUGUGCUUUCUUAAACAUUCUGCUUCAGCGUGUUCCUCUUCUUCAUUUAGAUCUUUUGGUAAUCAAGUAGCCCGCCCAACUAACCUUGUGCUCCAAGGAAUUGUUUGCAGGACAUUGGCUUGGCACGUAUCCAGAAGUUUGUUGGUCUUCAGUUAGCUGUAGCUGUCAUUGUUGCUCUUGCUUUAACAAACUCAUAUAGUUCGGCUACUACUCAGUUAAAGGGGUGAGACUUACUCUCACAUUGGUAAUUAACGUUGAAUGAUGGGAUUGCCUCAGCGAAAAUACAAAUUAUAAGGCGUUUUUUUUGCCAUUUACUUGAAGUUUCAUCGAACGUGCAGCAAACCGUUAACUCUCUAUUAUGGUUGUAUGUUUCAUAUCCCAUAGUGAAUUUCUCUUUUGGACAACCAUUUUCCUUUUCCUUUUUUACUUAGGAACCAGCCAUUUUGAUUUGAGGUCAAUGUGAAUUUUAUUCUACGUAGUUCGUUUCCUUUAAGAUCAUCUCAAGUGACUAAUAGACUUUCUUUUUCCUUCAUUUUAUGCAGUACAGGUGAUUUCGUAUUAGAACCAUACAAAACAGAGGUAACAUCAGAAUCAACCCCUUUUGCUAUUUCACUGGCAAGACAUCUACAUUCUAUAGGUGCUAAGAUGUAUGGAGCAUUCUGGUGUACUCACUGCAAUGACCAAAAACAAGUAUGAGUUCUUUCAUUUUCCUUGAAUCAACAGCUUUUAAUAGUUACUACCACAGGACCUCAUUGUUGCUGUGCUAGAUCUCCAAAAAUGAAGCAGAGCAAAAUCAAUCAAGACCUACUUUAUAAUUCUUACCAUAUGGUCAUGCAGUUGUUUGGUCGUGAAGCUAUGGAAAUUCUGGAUUAUGUGGAAUGCUUCCCUAAUGGAGCCGGUAAGGGGAAGAAAAUGGCCAACGAAUGUGUGGCCACUGGUCUGGAAGGUUUUCCAACAUGGGUCAUCAACGGGAAGGUACUCCCGAUAAGUUGGAUGUUUCCAUUAAAGUUCAAGUCCAUGAUGUCACCCAUUCAGUGUUUUAUGUUGAGGCAUGAUUUAAGUUCUCGGUGCACAUCUGCAUUUCUGUCAGUAUUGGCUCACACUGAAUCUGCAGCUUAUCCUCAGAUGACAUCCUCUGUUUUACUUCGCAGUAGCAUGCAUAUAGCUUUGGUUUUCUACAUGUGAUGUUGUCGGUCACCACACUCCGUCGUGGCUUGCACAUGCUUCCUAGAUGAUGAAAGCACUAUGCUUCCUAUGUGUUCCCGAACUGAUUAUGUACCUCCCUUCCACUCAGCUCCUGAGCGGCGACCAGGAACUCUCAGUCCUCGCAGAAGAAUCCGGUUUUGUCUCCGAGAGCCCCGAGCAAUCCUGAGGCAUGGAGCUCGAUGAGCAGAAGCACCCCGCCGAAUCGAAGAGCAGAAAAGAGCUCUCUAGAGGCAAGAACCUGAAGCUUGUGGCAGUUAACAGCAACACCACAAAAAUUUCAUCCCAGAUGAGGUGCAUUCCAAUGGUGCAUAUGUAGAUUAUACUACUAAAUACAACCACUAACCACUGUAAUACUAUGUAAAAAACAAGACCUAUUUGUCCUCUCAUCGAAUGGCGCGGAAGGAGAGCAUCGAACCCCGGGGGCGAAUGUACUAGGACCUUUUUGUAGAGCCUGUAGUUUGUGCUGUAAAACCUGUAGUCCUGGAAAACCAUUGUUUUCGUAGUACGUAAUACUUUGCACUUGGACAUUUGCAGUCCUGGGGAAGUACACUGUCUGUGCCCUCCGCCCUUUGAAACGAAGGGUUUCUGCUCUCUGGGAGCAUAUGUGAAUUCCUGAGCUCCACAACGUCGAUAAUUGAGCCAUUGAUACUUUCUUGCUAAAACUGAAUUUCUGCCUGAUUUGUGCAGAAAGUCAAAAACACAAGGAAAUGGUCUAAUUCUUGCAGCAACUGAAGCAAAACCGUCUCCCUCCCCCAAAACAUAUGGAUAUGUGAAUUCACUUUUGUCUCAGGAAAAAAUAUGUGAGCGUGUAAAAGUGUGCAUACUCAUGUUUCUGGCAAAAGGAGAAAUAAAGACUGAAUGAUCUUUAUUUUCAGCUUAAGAAAUUCGCAAUAUGCACUUCAGGGUUGCGAAAAAUGUAGAGAGAGGGAGAGAGAGAGUAUGGCACAGUUGGGGGUAUCAGGAAAAAAAAACUGAACUUUGUUUGGACAGCUAUAUAUAGACGAUAGCCACUCUGGUUCUAAAAACGGAGAACACACUACUGUAUAUAGGAUUUAUUAGAAAGGUUUUGAAGGAUUGUGAAAAGCAUGGCACAAAUGCACUGUGGCGCUUGAUUCUGCAGAAACCUUUAUUUUUCUUGCUUUAUUAAGGUUAUUUUCUGCAGAAGAGACAGACACAGCUGGUGCUGCCCUCCAAUCUCCAGCACGUUUGUUGUUUGACACGGGCGCCGAUGACUUGCGCCUGCGUCCAGCACAGCGCCUUGCACAAGGCUUCGAAACAUAAUGGCGUUGUCGAAACCCGGUAUUUUGCAAUCCUCUGCACGGGAACACCACAUUAUUACUUACAUUAAAAGAAAAAGGAAACAGCACAUUAUUACAUUACACGUGUAAUUGUAAAUGUCCGCGCAUCGGUUAACUAUUACUCCCUCCGUUCCAAAAAAGAUUUCUCAACUUUAUAUUAAAGUUAGUAUAAAGUUGAGUCAUCUAUUUUGGAACGGAGGGAGUAGUUUGGUCUCUCGUAGCCUCACACCGCGAGCAAAGAAGAGAAAAACAUGCUAGACCCUAGAUGUGGGGGAGGAAGAAACGUAAGGGGCAUGUUUGGUUCUCUACAUGAAUUUGGGCCUCCUGCAUGUGUGGUUCGGUUGAGUCCGGCUGAGUAAAUAUAGAUAGUAAACAGGGGAGGAGCCAGGAUUUGGACUUGAGGGGGGCGAAAGGCCGAUGUUCACAGAAGUCAUUGACCAUCAUGAUAUUUUCAGUCUCACGAUAGCAUGAUGAAAAAUCAUAAUUUUUUUUGUUUGGAAUUACAAAAGAAUGUUACAUUUCUACACUUGAAUUGAGCGCUACACCUACAAUGUUGAACAAGUUGAUAAUGUAAACUUUGCUAUGCUUCUUACCAUUACUGUCAAUCAUGUAAUGCUGAAGAAAAUCAUGUUCAUUUUGUUUCGAAAACGUGUCUUGUCUAGUUCCAUAGACGAAAAAGUUUGUUCAGUUGUCGCGGCUGACACUAGAAGAUUUAUGACCAACCGAAGUAAUAUAUAAACCAUUGCGUAUGUAGUAGUUUUACUUGUUUUAGGAUCCAACAGUCAGAUCAUGAAGACGAGAUUUUCAGCUCUGGAUGGUUGCAAACAUCCAGCUAGAAAUGGACAAGUUGAUACUCUAGUUGAGCCCGUUCUUGACGAGAAAAGAUUUCAUGGUAACAAAAAAAUCCACCAUUGUUCCUGGAUUUAUUUCAGGAUUUCCGGCGAUGCGCUUUCAGUGGGAGGAGACGUUCCCGUCGACGACGAGGCGCCUACGGUGACUUCGUAAAUUUCAAGAUGAUAUGCCGGCUCAGUCUCUUGGAGGUGCUCAUAGGGGUAGGGUGUGCGUGCGUGCGUUCAUAGGGGUGAGUGUAUGCGCGUGUAUAUGAGCGCUUGUGUCUGUACUGAUGCUCAAAAAAAAAAUCCACCAUUGUGUAUAUAUUGGACACAUCAAAUAAGUCUUGUCGUGACCACAUGGUAUAUGGGUAGUAAGCAACUUCAUAUUUGAAAUUGAGCUGUGAUGCUUUAGGUUAAUAGAUAAAAAGCAAAGUUAAGGAAAAACUCAUGUCGUGGAUGCAGAAUAUAAACGAUGCUAAUUAACAAGACUAAGAUCACAAUUCACAAAAAAUAAACAAUAAUUAUUAAUAGUUACUGAUGCAUGGUGGUAUCUGCUGCCAACAUAUUCAAUCCUGUAUCCGCAAGAAAACAUAUUCAAUCUUGGUCACCUGGCUAGCGACCUCUAGUUGUAUUCUGAUGAUCUGAUCCGUUUGCAUCUAGUCAAUCGUAUGCGGACAGCGGGCUGUAGAGGGUAGAAUAGUGGAUGGAGUCGUCGUGGCGACUAUGAUGGAUGCCGCGGCGACCGUAAACGCCCUAGCACGACACGCACAUCAGUGGAUGGCACUAGCGGCGGCCGGUGAUAGCGGCAAAUGCCCUAAGCGGUCCAGGAGAAUACGAACGUAGAUCAAUCAAUCGGAUCUAUUAGAUUGUCCAUAGGGCAAACAAUAGCCGACACGUACAUAUCUAUGGGCUAUUGGGCUCUGGUCAUCAAUAUUUGGCGUAGCUAGUUCAAUGGAUAAAUUGNNNNNNNNNNNNNNNNNNNNNNNNNNNNNNNNNNNNNNNNNNNNNNNNNNNNNNNNNNNNNNNNNNNNNNNNNNNNNNNNNNNNNNNNNNNNNNNNNNNNNNNNNNNNNNNNNNNNNNNNNNNNNNNNNNNNNNNNNNNNNNNNNNNNNNNNNNNNNNNNNNNNNNNNNNNNNNNNNNNNNNNNNNNNNNNNNNNNNNNNNNNNNNNNNNNNNNNNNNNNNNNNNNNNNNNNNNNNNNNNGCCCCUGAUAGUAAACCAUGUUGCGUGGUGCGUUUGGUUGCCCACAAAGCUCCAGACUGCAUGAGAGCACAACAGACGUACGGCGUUUGGUUGCAAGUCUAGGCUCACCAGAUAAAACUUACUGUUGUUUGGUUACGUGUAAGACAUACAGUGUGGUUACAUCUUUUUUGGGCGGUGAGGUUACGAGCACACACAGUCAUAGGCACACCACUUUCAACAAGCAUGCACACAGUCAUACACACCACUUUCAACAAGUGUACGCAUAACUACAUUAACAAGCAUACACAUAGCGACACAAUCAUAGGCAUAAUAGUGACAAGCAAACAUACGCAUAACCACACAAUCGUAGGCAUAAUAGCUCAGGACCGACAGACUAACAAACAAAUAUUACAACUCUUGGAUCAUGACAAGUUGGGUCAUGAUGGACGCACUUGACCACCACGUCUGCGUCAGAAAUGUUGAACACAAUGAAUUUGAAACUAUCCCCAGUCAGGACCUAUGGUAAAGCAAACCCACCCUUGAUCCAUGGCAUGCCUCCGGUUGACAUCUUGGAGCUUGACCCUUUAGAUGCAGCUGGUGUUCGUCCUCAGAAUGAUUUCCUGAUGGUGCCCAUGUGCUCAUGGAAGGCAUCAUGGAUUAGAAGUAAAUAUAACCCAGGUGCUAAGCAACUUGCAGAAGUGGGAUGGACCUACGUCCUCAUGGAAGUGGUCGAUAUUUGUUGGCCUCCCCUGACCCCCCUUUGAAUAGUUGCCUUGUACUACAGCCUUGCCCUUGGAACGGCUGCCCGAAGAAUCAUUGUCAAUGACCAACUUGUCGGAAGGGCAAUGCAAUGAAGAACAUUAGGCUCAACACACCAUCGAACUACAAUGUGUAGGAUCAUAACAAUGUGUAUGUCAUGGGUGAUGAUCUUCACUGCUUGUUGUCAUAUAGAAGGAUAAAGGUGGUACAAGGAUCAGAACUACAAUGUGCAGAACCAACCCUCAUACCAACGAUCACCCUAAUACAUGGACUGCACAUCAUUGAAGAUCAUUGCUCAAGACAGUCCAAGUUAAAUUGUUCUUCCCCCAAUUCAGAUUGAUAUACCCCCUAAUAGAACUUAGCUUUCCACAAAUAUAACCCUAAAUUGACAACCCAAACUGAGCCCUAUCAAUCUCUAAAUAGAGGCCUGUAAAACCCUAAACUGGAUGCUAAAUCGAACCAUAAUCUGGCAGGGAAGGGCUUAUCGCCAUGCGGAAGGUAACCGCCGAUGGUCGCCAUGCAGAUCUUCCCACCGUCGAUAAUCACAAAGCUACCUGUGAGGGAGUGGUGGCAUAGACAGGGAAGAGUGAGCGGUGAGAGAGGGAUGAGGAGAUUUAUGGCGCGGUUUCGAGAAACUAUGAACCGUCUCCCUCUCGUCCCCACAUGUGCAGCCGCGUGGCCUCCUUGCGCUCAUUCGUGCCUGACUCGCUAGAAACGGUCAGUUCGGCCAUUACUCCAAAGCCAGGCUCUGGGCUGCUUUGAGUAGUGUGCUAUGCAAGCCUAACCACACGCGCAUGUAACCAAACGACCAAAUUACCUUCCCAGCUUGCUGGAGAUGAUGUGGGCAACCAAACACGCCCAAGGUAGCAUGUCUGGCAUCCAUGUAGUAGUAUAUGAUGUGACGGUUUCUCAGAAACCUCAGGGAUGGAGUGGAUGGAGAGCAUGUCAAAUACACUGGUUGGAUGGUAGUAAUAAUUAUCAGGAUUAAGUAUAAUUUUCCCAAAUCUUAGUGGGUUUGCGGUUUAUAUUUUGUGAUUCGUACUUACCGAGCUAGUUUUUUUUAAAGAAAACACAGCUGAAGAGCAUCUUAGAUCCUAUAAUUACAAUGGAAAGACAAGACGACACAAAAUGACUAAUAAUAAUAAAAUCACGUCAAAAACCAUACUAAAACAACACAUGCAUUAGUUUGUUUUAGCAGGGUACACAUGUUGCCUUAGUUAUUUGCUUCAGUCUGUCAUGUAUAAGGCCGUGCAAAGAAGCGAAAAACAAGUUAGAGAGAGAGAAAGGGAGACGAACCGGCAAUGGCAGUAGGAUUUCCGUUUAACACAAGUACAAGGAGGAAACAGACAACCAUAUGUCGGGCAUCCAUGGUGAUGGCAGUGAUAGUUUCUUUCUUAUCAAACCUAAGGGAGACGCCACCAAUAGUAUCUCCAAGAAAAUUAUAUGCAUAUAUAUCUGGCACCGGUUAUAAACAAGUCGACGUCAUCACAUAACAUCUGAUGACAAUUAAUAUUUUAUCAAAUAGCAUCAUGCAAUUAAUUUCUAUCAAAUAUCAACGUCUAAUUAUAUUUCACCAUAUAUCUACAUCACUACAUGCAAUUAACAUCCUGCCUUUUUUAUAGUGAAUUAAUAUCCUACCUAUAUAGAGAGUCUUUGCAUGCUCUUGAUAAACAUUUUUAUUUGGAAUGAUUGUAUCUAUCUUUAAGAUACGAUGAAUGCUUACUAUAUAUCUUUGAGAUUUGAGAUACGCUGGACAGGAUCCAGCUUGCCCGCGCCCCGCGCGUGCGCCCAUCCGUGCUCCCACUUCAUCCUACGGCUAUUCUUUUUUCCUUUUUCCUUCCUAAUCUAAUCACCCCCCUGAUUUUAACGGGUGGAUCCAGGCCUUUUUUUUGUUCCAAUCAAAUCAAGCCACGUAUGCGGGAGCAUGGAUGGGCGCACGCGCUGGGCGCAGGCAAGUCUCGUCCCGCUAGACGGUACCCUGAGAAUGGAUGGAUGGCCACCCAGGUGGCGGGUUAGCAUCUCCCUGUUCCAUCAUGUAUGUAUUGAUAUUGUUGUUAAUACACAAGCACGCCAUUAAUAUCUGGAGAAUUUUGCACCUACAUCAAAAGGAAAUUGAUGACUUGAUGCUCUGUUAGAUUGUAUGAUUAAAAGUGUAGAAAUUUUAAAAAGUGCAUAAUUGAGAUGUGAAUACUAUUGUUAGUGUUAAACAUAAAAAAUCUAUAAGAAAUAAUUGUGGACAAUGCUACAGUGCAUGGGAAAUAAACCAUAUUGACAGGGACCGAAGGCAGUGCAGCAGUGUCCGAAAGCGGGGCAACGAGACCCUUGACCUGCUCCAGAUGUCUUUUCCAAGAGCAGGAGGAUUAUAUCCAGGGUUCGACAUCGGCAGGAUCUAGCUUGGCUUCAACCAUAAAUAUGGGCAUACUUUGGGUGGAAAUCCAUGUUCUCGUCUCUUCAGCUUGAUCCGACUUUGUCACAUGCGUGUGUUGUGCCUUUGUUGAAGGUUUUGUCUCGAAUAUUGAGUCCGAGGAUGAAAAGUCAAAGUGUCAUAUUUGAUUGGACCCGUUAACAUCCACAUGGUGCGGUGAUCCUUCCCUGAAAGCUUUGUUUAUGAGUAGCGUUUUUGUUGGUUGCUUUGUCAAACAUUAUAGGGUUCGUGCUAAGUUUGUGGAGACAUUGUUGUGAGGAAGAUCCUUUUGUAGAUGUUGUUGGGUUUUUUAAGCUCAUUUAUUCGGCAUCGGUAUUGAGUUGUACUUGGUCAUUGGUUGAGAUUGUUGAAGAAUUAAUAAUACGUAUAUGACUAUGCGCAUCAGUUUGGGUGGCUGGUCCUCAUUUUCAGAGAGAAAAAGUAGCAAGUACUUUAUUUAGCGGAAACCCUUUAUUUUUUGUUGAGAUUAGUUAAUCAUUUCCUGCAGAACAAACAAAUACAAAUGGCAUCCAAUGGUGUUUUGUAACACCAGGCGUCUUUGACAUGGCCGCCCUCGACGAGAGCCGCCUUCGUCCAGCAAAGCCCCUUGCACCAAGCGUCGAAACAAAAUGGCUGCCUAUAAGCUCCUUUCUGGCAAUUCUCUGCACGGAAAUAAACAAUCAUGGACAUCCACGCGUUAGUAUUCAAGUCUGUCACGGUCUCACUACAUGAGCAUAUCCACGAAGCUAACAAGAACAUAAAAUCAACCNNNNNNNNNNNNNNNNNNNNNNNNNNNNNNNNNNNNNNNNNNNNNNNNNNNNNNNNNNNNNNNNNNNNNNNNNNNNNNNNNNNNNNNNNNNNNNNNNNNNNNNNNNNNNNNNNNNNNNNNNNNNNNNNNNNNNNNNNNNNNNNNNNNNNNNNNNNNNNNNNNNNNNNNNNNNNNNNNNNNNNNNNNNNNNNNNNNNNNNNNNNNNNNNNNNNNNNNNNNNNNNNNNNNNNNNNNNNNNNNNNNNNNNNNNNNNNNNNNNNNNNNNNNNNGCAGGAUUUGGAUGCAGCACAAGUAUUAGGAGGAGGAAAUGGAGAACAACAAGCCGGGCAUCCAUGGGUGGAGUGAUAAGUUUCUUUAUUGCCGAACCUCAAGGGAAUAUAAACACCGAUAGCACGGUGUGAUGUUGUGUCCAUAUGUGUAUAUAUAGGAUCGUCUUUGCAUGCUCUUGAUAAAUAAUCAUUUGUUCAUAUUCAAUAGCCAUAUCUAUGUAUCUUUGAGAUACUACUAUGCUAAACGGAGGUACUCCCUCUGUCCGGGUUUAAAGGGCCUCUUGGCCAGGAAGCCCUGUCCGGAAUUGUAAGGCCGCGCACAUUAAACCUGCUCCAAUCACAGUAUUUUACCGUUUCCUAUUCCCAUGCCAUGCCUUGUUAAUCGCGUGUGCAGUUACGAGCCAUGCAUGCAAGCCAGUGCAUGCUAGCCUUUGCCUGCAAGCCGCCCCAGCCGUACCUUGUUUCUUGCGUGGGCUGUUUAUGUCGUUUGCAUGCGCAUCUAAGCUGCUGCGGUUUAUUAAUGUAGCAUCUACUUUAAGCUAGAACAGAGCCUCCUAAUUGGCCAAUUUCAGCUGUAAUUUUCAAGCUCUUCUUUUAAGCACUGCCUUGGUCCUAUCAAAGUGGUCUUUGGGCCUAAUAAACCCGGACGGAGGGAGUAGUCAGAAUGAAUGCAUGGUGGCCACACUACCAUUUAUCCCCGGACGGCCACGUUGCCACGUUAGAGGAUUCGACGGCCGCCUCACGAAGAAAGCUUUCAUACGUUGCCGACUGCUGCCGUUCGCGUUGGCGCCGGGCUACCGCUAGAGAAAAUAAAUGACCUAGGCUUUCUUGGAUUGCAGAGGCUAGGUUUUUCGCUGAGCAGUACAUACUAGUAAAAACAACACAUGUGUUGACGCCGGUCUAAUAUGCCACAAUAACUAAGAGCAUUUUCAAUAGAAAUGGUCAAAUUCUUGCAGCAACUGAAGCAAAGCCGUCUCCCUUCCCCAAAACAUAUGGAUAUGCGAAUUUACUUGUGUGUCUUUUAAAAAUAAAUGUGAGCGUAUAAAAAUAAAGACUAAAUGAUCAUUGUUUUUAGUUUAAGAAAUUCAACAUAUGCACUUCGGGGUGGUGAAAAAUGUAGAGAGAGAGAGAGAGAGAGAGAGAGAGAGAGAGAGAUGCCCUUUUUCUUCUUAAGUAAAAUGAAAGACAAACUUGGGUUUUCAGAAAAAAAAACUGAACUUUGUUAGGACAACUAUAUUUUCAAUACACUAUGCUCCCUAAUUUUGAAGGGCUCACAAUCAAUUGCGGUCUCUAAUUUAGAAUUGGUCAUCUUUUUUUAGGGUCAAAAAAGUAGGAGAGGCUCCUACACCAUAUAUAUUAAAAAAAUGAGGGUUAUGUACAAAUAUAUACAUGCUCCCUANNNNNNNNNNNNNNNNNNNNNNNNNNNNNNNNNNNNNNNNNNNNNNNNNNNNNNNNNNNNNNNNNNNNNNNNNNNNNNNNNNNNNNNNNNNNNNNNNNNNNNNNNNNNNNNNNNNNNNNNNNNNNNNNNNNNNNNNNNNNNNNNNNNNNNNNNNNNNNNNNNNNNNNNNNNNNNNNNNNNNNNNNNNNNNNNNNNNNNNNNNNNNNNNNNNNNNNNNNNNNNNNNNNNNNNNNNNNNNNNNNNNNNNNNNNNNNNNNNNNNNNNNNNNNNNNNNNNNNNNNNNNNNNNNNNNNNNNNNNNNNNNNNNNNNNNNNNNNNNNNNNNNNNNNNNNNNNNNNNNNNNNNNNAGUGUGCAGCAGAUAUUCUAGUCUAUAGAGUUCACCAAGGCAGAUAUGCUGGGUUUUAUAUCCUCUGCCACUCUCUUUUUCAAUUCUUUUAAUUCACCGUGCUCCCUAAUUUUAGAGCUCUUCCAUUCGAAUGAGGUAAUCAAUUUUAGAUUUGGUUUACAAUUUCAACCGGGCCAACGAAUUUUCAAAUCAAUUAGCAACAACCGGCCUAUAAAAACAUAUCAAUCCCACUCACCCUCUCACCAAUUAGAAAAAUGAAGCGUCAUCGUGUGACACUGUAGCACCAAUAUAGUACAUGCAACAACCGAC